Molecule: long non-coding RNA, 71622 nt
Filed under: Eucalyptus grandis
Lineage: Eukaryota; Viridiplantae; Streptophyta; Magnoliopsida; Myrtales; Myrtaceae
Description: long non-coding RNA (EGRA_LNC002063)
Source: RNAcentral
UCACUAGCUUUUAUGUUGACAUUACAUAAUACUGGUGUAACAAACUCCAUUGAAGUUAAGACAGAAUUAGAAUAAUUGUCACUAGGAUAUUUACAUUCAUAAUCUUGACUGCAAAGUAGAAUAACUUACUAAGCAGCUGCUUGCUGAGGUUGGGGACUGAUAUAUCCUAACCAGUGGCACCCAAUCCUCGAGAUUUCGGGAACCUGACAGCGGCCAAGGGGUUGACUAUGCCCUGAGAAUCCUUUCCCAAACCCAUACCUUCAACAAAUCCCAUCUUUGCCAUCACUCUGGAUCCAAACCCUUUGGUAUGCCUUUCAAAAGCUCCGAUACUUUGAGGCGUUCUUCUCACAAAUGCUCCUCUGCCACUUUGCUUCGACUUAGCGCUUUGAGAUUCUGACUCCCUAUUACUUUCCGGUUCUUCGCCAGACUCCGGGAAGCUCAUCCCUAAUCCAAGAGAUUUAGGACGCUAAAUCACUUCGAUGGGCUCCCCGAGACCCGGGCCUCCCUUCCCCAACCCUUGGCCUUCUAUGAAUCCCAUUUUCGCCAUCAUUUUAGACCCAAAGCCCCUAGUGUGUACCUCAAACGCACCAAAGCUCUCAGAAGUGACCAGACUCACGUGCUCCUCACCAUUUUCACUGGCCCCUGCUAGAUUCACGGGGCUGAUUUCUGUCGUUUCAGAUGGCAUUACGCCACUUGACACGAAAGACACGGGUUGACUGGCCAAUGAAACCUUUCCACUGGAACGGUUGACUAAGUUUUUUAAUGACUUGGUUCUGCUAGAUUUUUAGCUUCUUGAGGUCUUACCUGAUUUCGACCUCCGCUGGUCAUCUUCGCAUGUGGGACAUCAAUUACUGAGAAAUCAGCAUCAUCAUCAACAGGUCCGAUGAGCUGUCAUUAGCAACACAACAAUUGAUUGUAGGAUUUCCAGAUAUGCAAAUAGACAACUGACCACACUUUGUGAAAUGCAGAAAAAGGAAGAUUUAACAAUCCUGAAUGAAAACACAGCACUGAUAUGCAUAAAGUUUCCACUAAUCAGAUUUCAUACCUUUUCCAGUAUAAGUUUAUCAGUUGAAGAUGGCAUGCAUGUCUGUGGUGUUCGCACAACCGUUACAAAUCUGGAAAAAUAAGAUGACAAUUAGAAUGUCAAAAGCUUAAAGCCUAGAAAGGGCAAAGAUAGGGGAAACAUAAGGCCCAUUAACCUUUUCUUGCCCGAUCCUUGGGAGCUACUUCGCAACCGAUAAAUUCUUGCCAGUCGUUGAACCUUAUCACAAAAAGAAAAGUUAUCAUUAAAAAAUGUUCUGACUUACAGAAGCAGACACAAUCUACUACCGGGGCAAAAAUCACUUCCAUGGAACAUAAGCGUAGAAACCCUUAAGAAGUGAACAUGACGAUUGUGUCCAAACCACAAUCAAGUUUAUUGAAGACAAAGAAUCAAUGAAAUCUGAGAACUGGAAAAUUGGCAAAUCAGAACAUGCACCUCUGCAGCUGAAUAAAAUCAGAGAAAACUGGAUAGGUGAUUCACAUGAGCAAGGCCAAAAAGAAAAGCUAUACCUAAAGUUUGACAUGAUUGCUGAAUGAAUAUGCAAUUAUGCAAAUCAUCUGUAGCAACACUAAACCUUGGGAAGGCACAUAUCAGUACUUGCAUUAGUUUGACAGGAGUAAGAACACUUAGGUUGAUGUGUAACAUGAUACAAAAGAUACAGAGAUAAACCAAUGAGUGUAGAGCAAAGUCACAACUUUUCGAUGCAAAAUAAGAGAUCAAGGAUAAGCAGAUCUACCAGAAUUUCAAUUAGGAUUUUCAGAAAAAUAAAACUUUCAAUCUAACAAAUACUGAAUAUGGUCAUCAUGGCACAAAAUAAAAGAUACUUAUAGCAGCAGUCUUAUUAAUGAUUGAUAUACCCUAACACAGAUCUCUUUUGCAUGUGCUUGGAUGUUCUGCAUAAGUAAAACUAAGCAUGUUAUUAUCUGCUUUAUUACAUGUCAAUUUUGCAGGGAUAAGAUAAGCAUGUUAAGGUACUUUACCAUAAUACAUAGUAACAUCACAAUCAACCACACAAUCUCGAAUUUUUUCAGGUGUGAGAAAUUGGUACUUUAACAAUUGAUUAGGGCAAAGAAAGAUCAUUCUCAUUAUUAUAGGGUCUUUCUAUAAAAUAGGCAGUACAUCAUCAUGCAAAAGUGAGCAUUAGCAGGAAUGGUGAAGGAUUGGCGAGUAGUCGCACCCUUUAGUAACUAGAGAGAGAGAUAUAGAUGAUAAAACAUACCUGGGAACAAUCACGAGAAUGCAUAGGUUGAAAAGAAUGUAUGUCAAGCCCAUUGAGAACAAUCUGCUUGAGCUUCUAAAAAAAUGAAACCAAGAAGAGCUUUGAGAUUUGUUCCUAAUAAUCAAUUCUAAAUACCACAUAAAGGAUAAUAUGCCCAUCCCUAUUUAAACAACAUAGGAGCAGAAAGGCCAGAUUGACCGUGACAUUAAAAACUCAAGCAUUAUAGGAAGAACAGGGACACAGGUUGAAGAACGUCACGCCUAACAAAGUUGACUUCUAAUGAUGCCAUAGAACUUCAUGCCAGCAAGAUAAUUUAUACUACCGUGAUAAAGAUUUUUAAGGCUCAGUAUAACCCCAGAAAGACCCCAAAAAGCCAAAAAAAAAAAAAAAAACACCAAAAGGAUCCUCUCAGAAGAACAUGUACCCUCUCAUUCAUCCAUUACCAUCUCAUAUUUAUGAAACAAUGUCUACAACUUCCAUGCUUAAAAAUUUGAUAACAAAAUAACAAUUCAAUGCACGAAAAAUAAGAAAAUUAAGAAAAGACAUCAUAGGAUCCAUCAAGCAGAAGUAACAGAGUUAAAUUUGGCUCAAACAAACAUGGAAAAAUGAGAGGCACGUCCAAAAGAUAAUUAUGCAAUUGCUUGUUAAUUGUACAUCAAAUCACAAGGACAAUUUAUAAUUAAGGAGAAGAAGGAAGAAUGCCUUUGCAACUUCCAGAUACUUCCACCCUUACCUUAUUUACACUCUCAAGGUCAACGCCCCUACGAAUCAUUCUGUCCCGACGUUUAGCAGCAAUCAAUUCUUUGCAAUGUUUCUUCUUUUCACCUGUGCAUCAAUUACAUUUGAAUUUUACCAAAAGAGCAAAAAACUAAAGAAACAUUAUCCUAUGAAGGGCCUUCAGACAAUCUAAAUUGUUCUUCAUUCCCCAGGUAAGAGACAAUAAUUGCUCAUUUUUUUCCCAGGACACAGAAGGGGAGCUCCAUAAAUAGAUAAGUAAACAGUAAACUUCAGAAAGAGAGGUUCUUGUGUGCCUCGAACAUGUUUCUUUCUCAGGAGAUCAAAAACAUAGAGACCCCUCCAAUCAUGUCAUCCAAACACACCGAUCUCCUUAAUUCUCCAUUUUAGUAUUUAAUACUUGAGACUUAACUACUAGUUCAUGGAUCAAAAUAAAAAGCCAAGAUUCAUUAUUAAUUGAUUGAUAUUUCGAUUUACUAUCAUUAUACCACUAAACUAGUUUUCCAUUGAGCAUGACUUUCUCAUUCCCCCACGGGACAGGACGGGACAGGGUGGGGUGGGGAGGGAGAGAGAGUUAAGUUAGAUUAAUGCAUAUACAAAGUUUACCAGGAAAUCUUCUCGAUCUUGUACUCUUCUGAGACCCCAAUGACUGAGAUUGAGGCACUCUUGUACCAUGAUUCUUCUUCCUCACAUCUUUUACCAAGAUAAAAUCAUCCACAGCUGAUGACCAAUUAUCUCUCACAUUCCCAAGACCUUGAUGUUUUGAUUGACGCUUCCUCUGCAUACCAUACUCCGUGGAAGCAUCCUGGAGAGCAAUUCCACCCAAUUUUUUCAUCGUUUCAUCCAAAUCACUACUAGAAGAAUCGUCUGAAUCAUCUGACGAAGAAGAAACCUGCUGCAACAAAUUUUUUGCAUCUAAAAGAGAAUCGCUCCCACCAAUUCCUUCCAAAUAAUCUCGAGCAAUUUCAUCAUCAACAUCUGAACCACUAUCAGACAUGUCCUCGGAGUCAUCACUUUCAGAAGAAUCUGUUGCUCCAUCCUGCUCAGCCGACUCCGACUCUGAGUCUUCCUCAUCACCAUAUUCUGCAACAUCAUCCUCACCAUCUUCCUCAUCGGAUAUAUCUUCUGUAUAUAUUUUCAAUCCCCCAAUUGAUACAAACCCAGAAUUUUUCUUCGUCGAUGUAUCCUUUGACAAAAGCUGAGCCCCCUUUUCAGCUGCUCCAGAGUCAAAGCUCUCACGAUAAUCCACUUCCUGCUCAGGCGAUGACAUGCCACUCUGUGACUCUUCUUGAUUUUCCAUUUUCCCUGAUGAUGCUUCGAUUCCCAUUGGAGCUGCAUCGUAUUCAUUACAAUAACCCAAUCCUCUGUGUGAGCUAUCACCGAGAACAAAAUCUGAAUGAUAAUCAUAACUGAUAUUUGCUUGAUCCACUGAUGAUGGCCCUUCAUCUACAUAAGCAACAAUUUGGCUGUCCUUUGAACCACACAGAAUGAAAGGCUGAGAAAAAUCCAUUUUAUUCUCUCCAUUUGUAUCUCUGAACGUUGAUACUGGAUGCAAACCAUCCUGUAAAAGAAUUUAACUAACCCAGAUCAACACAAGUGAGAGACUGAGAUCAGCUGAUCCACAAGAAGUCUUCCCAAAUCAAGAAAGCUACAAAGACGAAAACCAUAAUCUAAGCCUCACGAUAUUAACUAAGAACAACUCCUAAAAUUACUUUCUAUUAGGUUCAAGGCUUCAGCUUGAUUGAGUCUCCGUUUAAAAAACUGAACGGGUAUGAAAUCCAAGAGACAGUAAUAACUAAUUUCAAUGACUCAUGAACUUCUCACACCCAGGAGGGCGACUAUCAGCAUAAGAUUCCAAACAAAAGCCAACAACCUUCAAAUUAUUGCAACCUGAAUAUGGAUCCUAAAAACCAAAUAGACUUUACCUGAAGGUCGCGAGAUGGAUACCGGUAUCCGACGGCAUUCGAUCUCGAAUUUCGCGGCAAGCUUUUAGAACCGGAAGCCCUACCUCGCCCGGAGCUUCCGGCUUUCGACGCAUCCGAAUUUUGAUUCGAUCCUACAAUGGAAACCAAGCAGACCAAAACACCCUCUUAUGCUCACAAAAACACCGUUCUCACACACAAACAACUGAGACAACUGGGAUUUACAGUUUCCCGUUCAAGCCCCCAUUUUUAUCGAGAAAAGCGCAAGCGAAACCGAGAGAAAUGGACCUCGCCGGGGGGCCGGAGACGGGGUCUUGGGCUGCCAGUCCGACAAGAGGCCGCCUUCGACGAAGAGGCCGGCUCUGAUCGACGCCGAGGUGCCGAAUCCUCCUCCCCUCCCUCUUCUUCCGCCGCCCCCGCCGCCGCCGGACUUGCUGCUGCUCCGGUUGAAGCUGCCUCCGCCGUCAGUGCCGCCGCCGCCGCCGCCGCCGCCGCCGCCGCUGUUUCUCCUCGAAUUCGAUCUCCGCUUGCCUCCAGCCAUGUCCGAGCUCGCGAAUCAACUUGGAUUAAAUUUUCUGACCUAAUUUGAUCGAUCGAUCGAGAUCGAUUUAGGGGCGACGACGAGAGAAAGGGAUCACCUCCUCCCGCGUGUGGUUUCCUGCCUUGGGGGAAGCGCUCGCAUCUGGACCGUUGGCGAUUCGCCGUGGGACGCAAGGGGACUCGUGGACGGCUGUGAUGCUGUGGCGGGAGCUUGGGGAUAUCAUAUUCCGCUACGCAAACAGCUGCGGCGGGGGUUCUGUCCCUUUGGGAAUAUGCGAGAAUCAAUGCCAUCGGCCAUCAACUGUAGCACCAAUAUGGAUACUCCACACGUAACAUGACACGUAUGAUAUACCGAUACGUUUUUUUUUAAAAAUUAAAAAAUUUUAUCACGUUAUAUAUUAAAUAUAUAUUUUAUAAUAAAAGCAUAUAAAUAAUUUAUACUAAAAAUAUUAAUUUAACAUUUGUUAAUAUCAUUAAUUAUUUUAAUUUGAUAGAGAUUGAAUAAAAAAUUCAAAAACUGUAAACACAAAAAAGUAAAUUUGAAGGAAUAUGUUAUGUUUUCUUAUACUUGUUGAAAAUUAGUGAGAUUUUUUAUAGUCCCAGACAAAAUUCGGAGUUCAGGAUAUAGACUAGUUUGGAGCUCCUCUACAAAACAAAGUUCGAGAAAAAUAAAAAUUUAGGACAAGAACUCUCGAAGUAUGACCUAAGGAAAAGGAAAUAACUAAAUUCGCCAUGGAAAAUGUGAGAGAUAACUCACAAGUUAAUGACAUAAACAAAAAAAAGAUAACUCAUAGGCGACGCUUGCAAGAGGCGGAAUGAAGCAAAAAAAAAAAAAAUCACAACUUUAAGUCUGUAGGGGUGGCAGAGUGACGUCGACGAAAAGAGGGGCGUUCCAUCGUCACUCACGAGAAUGUCAAAACUUAUAAGUGAGAAACUUGAGAGUGAAAAUUUUCUUUUUUCCCAUUUAUUUUUGUUAUUUUCAUUAUUUUUUCAUUUUGACCCCUUAAGUAUUGAAAUUUUUAAAAUUGACCCCGUGCAAGUCGAAAUUGCGUGUCGGAAUUUCAGACUCGCGUGUUGGAGCGUGUCAGAAAGAGUUGACCACGUGUUGGAUUUCCUAAUACUCGUUGACCACAUGUCGGAACGUGUCGGAGUGUGUCGGACACGUGUCAAAGGCUUCCGGAGAGUGUCGGUGCUUCUUAGCCCAUCAGCAUGGUCUUUUGGGAUUGUCGUGGACAACUAUUCUAGCUGGGCAGAAUUCGACCUCGAUUGGUUUUGGAAUUUGAUAAGGAUCAUCUGAAACUUUUUGGCUUAGGCUACCAAAAUCACUUACGGUUUGUGAUGUAUUUACAUGUUAAUGGGGUUAACUAAGUCGAUUUGCCCUCUUGAGUUACUAAACCCUAAAUUUUCUUUAACAAAGUCUCCGAAUACUUAGACAUUAAUUAAAAAAGAUUAGAUGAGAAAAUGACCACUGAGUUUUUACAUACCAAGUACAAUUUAUUCGUCGAUACAUGAAAGAUCUUUAAGUAGAAAUAGUUUCUUUGUUACUGGAAUGAAGUUGGAUUGCACACAAACUAGCUUUCCUAGAUGCUCAUUUCUUCUUAUUGGAGAUACAACAUUGAUAUAAUUGGACAACAACUUCACUGGUUGCUUUAUAUAAGUUUGUUGUGUUUGGGAGGCUGAAGAUGUCCUUGGGGACAAUCCUCGCUUUACAUUUUGAAGAUAAGCGCAUCAUGAUGCAAAAUCAUAGGAAAAAUUCGAGUUCCCACGGUAGCAAAUUAUUCUUUUAAUUUGGUUUGCUCUCCAAUUUGCAAGCCUUGCAUACUGGAUGUGCAGCGGAAGAUUCAGUGUGGAAGAGAGAUUGUUUUGAGAAGGUGAACGAGGGAUUUUAUUUUUGGUUGGCAAUUUGGUUGCAAUAUAGCUACCUACUUUGGCAGUUUGGUUUACUCUCUAGGUCGCCAGAUCGCAUGACUUUCGAGGUCAAAGGCCAGGGGCAUUCGUGCUGCCUUUGAGCUUGUGGCCAUGGCCUUGAGUGCGACAUUCAAGCUCUAACAGUUAACAUCGGUGUGGUGAAAGAUAAAGGGAUGGGUGAGAAAAAUGUGGUGGGGUGGGGGGUUGCUUCUCUCUUUUUAUCUGGGUCUAACAACUGGGGUCUUUAACAACUGGGGUCUUUCUCUCAAAAUACAUAUUGUGCAUUCUCAAAAGUGGGGAUGGUAUUUUUAAGGUUCUCUAUAUUUUUUUGUGAAAAAAAAAGGCAUGAUACUUACUUAUACGUUAUCUAAUAUAAUAAUUCUCUUUUGCAUGUUAAACUUGCAUCUACAUUUUCCAAGUAACCUAUAAGGUCGAUGUUAUAUGAUGUGUAGCUUUGUCACAAUCCCUCCUUUGAAACUAAGCUCCUAGCAUAAUGUUAGAAUGUCAUUCCGCGCAGAUAAGACUAGCAAAAGUAGUCAUGAAAAUGCAAGUUUGACCAUGAAUUUAACUAUCCGAUAAGACACUCCAGCAUAAGUGAACCUUCAUUAAAGUUAGAAAUCAAUGUCCUAACCAAAUUGUGGAUGAGCCAUUAACCUAUGACUCUGAUGAACAUGUAGUCCUUCAUGUUAUAUUGUCAAGCAAGAGGAGUUUUAUGUCUCAAACGAUUUCCAAAUGGACCGAGUGAUAUACAGAGAUGAAAUUUUUCAUUUGGAACUGAAAGCAAAUGUGCUACGGCUAAAAUAAGAAAGGUGAGAAGAGAUAGGUGUGUUUUUCUAGUGUCAUUUAUUAUCACUAGUAGCAUGAUCACCUAACCAAAUAGAGAUGAGCUAGCAACUACAUAAAAACCACCUUUUCGAAAGAGCGAAGGAUCACCCCAUAUAUUGUCUUCAAGGAAAUUAGAACAAGACCUUAUUCAGUUGUGAUGGUGAAAACUUACAUUAACGCAAUGCUGAUCAAUGACAAUAACAAAUGAUAGGAAAAAAAAAACCCAAUCCUACCAUUACCCGAAAAUGCAGAACAAGAGAACCUAAAUUGUUAGACCAGUAGACAAUUUUCAAAAACCAUCCUACACAAAAUAGGAGCAUGUGAUGAACAAGCUUCGACAUGUGGUGAUAACCAGUUCCACAUAAUGAAACCAUCCCUGUCGCCAUUGGGGGUUGAUGAACAGAACAAUUGGAAUUACCAGUAAAACCAUUGUGUAUGACAUUCCGAAGCUGAUAUAGAAUGUCUCUCCAUCUAUGAAACCAUCUUCUUUAGCUUUCCUGCGUGAUUUUGUUGCUGAGCAAUUAACGUUAAUUGUUGUCAAACAGUCAUUACUCAACGGCAAUCCACAAAAAAGAUGGUUUUCGUAGUAGCUGCUUUCAUCGAAUGACCCAAACUGAUUUUUGUUUGGUAUGGCUCCUGACAAGUCGUUGUAAGACACAUUGAAGACUCCCAAAAAUUUCAACCGAUUAAGCUCUUCAGGGAUAGAACCAAUCAAGUUGUUGUAGGAAAGGUCAAUGCUCUCUAUCUUUGUGAGGUUUGACAAUGACAUCGGUAUAUGUCCUGUAAGCUUAUUGUGCGACAGAUUCAGCACAAGCAUGUCCUGUAAGAUUGCAAUCUCUGGUGGGAUCUCCCCGCUAAAUUGGUUGCAAGAAAAAUCUAGUCCUACCAUGUUAAAGAGUGUGUAGCCUUUAUAAGCAUCAAAUCUUCUUUUUGAUGUGAACCCAACAAUAUGUGGAAUUUGCCAUGCUUCGUCUCCUAGAAAUUUAUCUUGGUAGAACCUGGUCUGGCUUCUAAUUGUCCUCACAUAAGAAAGAGGUGACAAUGCUUGACCUCCAUAUCUGGACAACGAUGUUGAAGUUACCUUAUCAGCAUAUCCUCUGGAGGAGAAGUUUAUGGGUCCCAAGCAAAUAGGUAAUGGACCAAAUAGAUUGUUUUCAGAAAGAUCGAUCAUACUUAAGCCUUUCAAUUUGCACAAUUGCUUGGGAAAUGUUCCAUAGAAGCUAUUACCUCUCAGUAAAAGAAUGCUUAAUUUAGAGAGGUUACCUAGCCAAUGGGGUAUGCUUCCGAAGAACUCAUUUUCACUCAAAUCCAAGGUCACCAAAUUGGAGCUGUUAGGGAGCAGAUGCACGAUCGAACAUUCAAUUUGUUCCCAUUCAGAUGGAUAUGUCUCAAUUGGGGUGCUAUGAAAGAUGAUGCUAAUGAACCAGAGAGAUUGUUGUCAGACAAAGCCAAAUACUCGAGCUUAGGAAGAUUAAAGAGUCCUUGAGGGAUGAGGCAAUUUAAUUGAUUUUUGGACAAGUCAAGGAGCCUAAGCGAUGACAUGUUUGCAAUCAAUCUGGGAAGCUUACCAAUGAAAAAGUUGUUGCUAAUGUCCAAUAGGAGCAGAUUUACGAGUGAUGAAAGAAAACAGAGAUCUCUCGUGAACAUGUUGUGCUCUAACUGUAGGCAUCUCAAAUUUAGGGUCAUGGUGUCAUCGGAAAAGAUGAUUUCUCCUUGCAAGUUGUUAUAUGCUAUGUUGAUGGUAUACAAUGAUGAGUUGCUAUCUAGUAACUGGAUAGGUAGUCCCCCGGAGAAAUUGUUGUGAGAAAGGUCUAAGACUGAUAGGUAUUUUAUACUACCCAGUUUAGAUGGAAUAUUCCCUUCUAAUCUGUUGGCUGAUAGAUUAAGCUCGUACAGAUUUGGGACAUUUAAACAAAAUACGUUCGUGAGCUCUCCUCUCAUGCCAUUGUUGGACAUGUCCAUCCACGAAAGAUUACGAAGGGUCAUCGGUGGAACCUCAAGUGUCGCAAAUAAGUUAUUUGCCAUAAGAAGAUUUUCCAACUUAGUGUUGUUUUCCAACAACCAAGCUGGAAAGGGACCCAUAAUGUCAUUUGAGGAGAGAUAAAUGGUUCUCAGGUCAUAUUGAUGAUCAAGAAAGCCAAGAGAAGACACCUUGAAUCCUUUCAAUAGACUAUUUGACAUACUAAAAUCCUUCAAUUGGAACCUCGGGAUCGAAGACACAACUUUGGAAUAAGUUGUUAGUUUAUUGUCAUCAAGCAAGAGGACCUUAAGUCUUGAAUAGUUUGCGAGUGGGCCAAGUGAUGAGGGGAUAUCAAAAUAAUUACCCGAAAUGGAAAGCAAAUCGAGUGAGGUAAGACUAGUGAGGGGAGAUGAGGCGACAUUAUCUGUGAAUUCAUUGUCUUCAAGAAAUAGAACCCGAAUAGAUGUCAUGUUUCGCCAGCACGUAGGAAGCCCGCCAGUAAUUCUAUUAUUGCUAAGAUCCAACUCUUCUAGUUUUACAAGGUUACACAAACCUGUUAUUGAUAUCACAAGUCAUUUCAAUUACAAUGGUAGAUAUCGGAACAUAUAACAAGGACAUACACAUACAUGAAAGAUUCAUUUUAUGUCCAAGAACUCUGAGAGAAAUGGACUUACUCUGAUCUGAUAGUUUGCCAUUAAGAUUGGUGCUGUAUGAGGACAACAAUCUAAGAGAUGUCAAAGGACCAAGGCUGGAAAGGAUUCCCAUGGUGGUGUUCAAUGAAGAAUAAUCCAAGAUGAGCUGUUCCAACUUACUGAAGUUAUGGAAAUCUUCUCAGAAAACGAAAGAUUAUUGAACAUCAGAUUUCCUUACAUAGACAUAAUCAAGAAAUGGUAGAGAAACAUCAUGAGUGAAUGGAACAUUUUUAAUAAAAACCUAGGCUCUGUUUAUUUCGCGAAAAAUAUGACGUUUUGUGAAACUGUUUUCUAAGAAGUCAUUUUUUAGGAAAAUGUUAAUAUUUUCCAAUAUUUGGUUGAAAUCUAAAAAUAAACCGGAAAAUAUUUUCCACUAUUUGGUAUGGGAAAUCUGAUUUGAUUUUCAUCUGUGUACUCCUUUCAAUAAUAGUUUAUUUUUAUUUAAAAAAAUAUAAUUUUUAAUUAUUUUCUUUUUCUUUUUUGUUUUUUUCCUUCUUGUCCAGUUUAUCACCAGCCACAAGUGACGUCAAGAUUGCCUGAGGUAGACGAACUUGAGCCUUGUUAGAUUGGCAAAGCCUCGGCCUUUGGCGAGCUUGUCCUUCGCCUGUGGUUAGUCCUCAUAAUCAGCUAUUGAAUGAGGAAGAAGGAAUAAGAAUAAGAAUGAAAAAAGAAAGAAAGAAAUUAAAUAUUUUUUUAAAUGAAAAAAGAAAAAAUAUCAUUUUUAAUUGUGCAUGGAGGAACAUAGGUUUAGAUGAAAGAAAGAGAAUGGAAAAUGAUUUCCUCAUUUUCCCCACUUUUGAAAACUUAGGCUCUGUUUAUUUUGCAAAAAAUAUGACGUUUUGUGAAAAUGUUUUCCAAAAAGUCAUUUUUUAGGAAAAUAAUAAUAUUUUUCGAUGUUCAGCUGAAAUCUAAAAAUAAAACAUAAAAUAUUUUCCACUAUUUGGUGUGGAAAAUCUGAUUUAAUUUUCAUCUGUGUACUCCUUUCAAUAAUAUUUUAUUUUUAUUUUAAAAAAUAUAAUUUUUAAUUAUUUUUUCUUUUGCUUCUUUUCUUUUUUCCUUCUUAUCCGGUUGAUCAUCAGCCACAAGUGACGUCAAGAUUGCCUGAGGCAGACAAGCUCGAGCCUUGUUACAUUGGUGAAGUCUCGGCCUUUGGCGAGCUUGUCCUUCGCCUGGGGUCAGUCGUCAUAGUUAGUGAUUGAAUGAGGAAGAAGGAAAAAGAAUAAGAAGAAAAAAAGAAAGAAAGAAAUUAAAUAUUUGAUUUUUUUUAAUGAAAAAAAAUAUAAUUUUUAAUUGUGCAUGGAGGAACAUAGGUUUAGGUGAAAGAAAGAGAAUGGAAAAUGAUUUCCUCAUUUUCCCCACUUUUGAAAAUGCCUUUUCCAUUGUAGGAAAAUAUUUUCCUUCACUUAUUUAUUUUCCGUAACCUAAAUGCUCGAAAAUUUGGAAAACAUUUUUUUCAAAAUUGUUUUCCGCAAAACGAACGGAGCGUUAUUAUGAGCAUACAUUUACUAAUGGGUUUGACUAACCUUGAGUAGUAAGCGUUCCUUCUAUGGUAUUAUUCUGGAGAGAAAGGAUCUUGAGGGAUGAUAGUGCCCCUAAUGCUCGCAUGACGGUCCCCACAUCCUUCAAGUGGACACCAUCCAAGUAGAGGUUCUCUAAGUGGCUCAAGUUUUUGAUGCCUACCAAUAAAAUUCCAAGAAAAUAACUUGAUUGGCAAUAAAGUUGUGAAAUCACCCAUGCGGAUGCUUCGCGACAGGGAUCUUUUGAAUCAGGUAACAUUUCUAUAUAGAAAGAGAAGGGGGUCCCAAUUUAUGACUUCUAUAUUCUCAGUAUGACGCACAUGUAAAGCUAUGAGAGACACCGCAUGAAAACUGAAACAAUAUCUUUAGCAGUAGCCGCUGCAUUGACUACAUUACAACUUAUGUCUAGCUCCUUUAAAUUAUUGAAACAACCUAAUUUAUCCAUGAACCUUGCUAACUCAAGUCAAGGAUGGUGAUUUUGUUCAGAAUUAUGAACAGAGAAUAAGUUGGAGAAACUAUCAUUCACAUUUAAAGUCCCAUUCAAAUGUUAUUUUGGAGAAUUAUCCAGAGAAAAUAAUGAAAGCACCCACGCGGAUGUCUGGGAAUAGGAAUCUUUUGAAUCGACAACAUUUCUAUAUGGAAAGAGAAUGGAUGACUUCUAUAUUCUUAAUAUGAAGCACAUGUAAAGGUAUUAAAGAGCAUGCAUGAAUCGUAGUCUAGUUAGUUUAAUUUAUGAAUACAAACAAGGAUUCUACGUGAAAACUAAAACAAUACCUUCAGCAGUAGCUACUACAUCGAUUGGAUUAUCACUUAUGUCCAGCUCCUUUAAAUUAUUGAAACCACCUAAUUUAUCCACAAACAUUGCUAACUCAAGUCAAGGAUGGUGAUUUUGUAUGGAAUUAUGAACAGAGAAUAAGCCGGAGAAACUAUCAUUCACAUGUGAAGUCCCAUUGAAAUGUUGUUUUGAAGCAUAGACACCUGAGAGUCGGAAUUGUACUGUGAACGGGUAAAAUAGAAUUAUCUAGAGUAAAUAAUGAAAGCACCCACACAUAUGCCUUGGGAUAGGAAUAUUUUGAAUCAAUAACAUUUCUAUAUAGAAAGAGAAGGGGGGGUGCAAUAUUUGACUUCUUUACUCUUAAUAUGAAGCACACGUAUAGGUAUUAAAGAGCUUGCCUACAUGACUCACAAGCUAGUUAGUUUAUUUUAUGAACAAAAAUGAGGUUCCUACAAGAAAACUGAAAUAGUACCUUCAGCAAUAGCCACUGCAUCAACUGCGUUAUCACUUAUGUCCAGCUCCAUUAAAUUGCUAAAACCACCUAAUUUAUCCAUAAACAAAGUUAACUCAUGUCAAGGAUGGCAACUUUGUACUGAAUUAUAAGUAGAGAAUAAGUUGGAGAAAUUUACCAUUCACAUGUAAAGUCCCACUCAAAUUACUGCUUUCGAGGAGCAAAUGCCGGAGAGAUGGAAUUGUACCAAGAAUGGAUAGAAUAGAAUGAUCUAGAAAGUUAUAGCUCAAGUCAAGCACCUCUAGUUUGCUUAGCCUUGAAGAUAGCAGGUUUGGUUCUGCAAACAAACAAUAAAAAGCAGUAAAAGCCGCAGAAAACUAUUCAAGGACACUUGCAAAUAGAUAUUGCCAUUUCAAGGGGAAAUAUGUCAUAGACUCGUGAAUAAAUGAUGACGUGGACAUAAUCAUCUAUGAUGCAGGAAGUAAGUAAGAACCUAAACAUGAUUAACUUAUGAGUUCAUUAGAUAAUGAGUAUCUCUUUUUUAUAGGAAAUAGACGAACGGCAAAUUUAUACCUUCUGGUGCAAUCCACCCUCCUAAAUAGUUGGAGGACAAGUCGAGGGUCUUGAGUUCUUCAAAGGGAAGAAGUAGAGAAGCGUUUAGAUACCAAGUUUUGGAGCCGAAACAGUCAUAUCUCAAAUUGGAGAGCAUUAGCCGAGUGAUUCAUCCUGUGGUGGGAUUGCACUCUACACCUUCCUAGCUGCAACUGUUGAAAUAUGAUCCCCCGGCGUCCACCCUAUAUGUCAGGUCCAAUGUGGCAUUGAGUGCUAAGAGGGCAACCUUUUCUUGCUCCCGACACCCACGGGAGCCACAUAAACAUGCGAUACCCCAAACCACCACAAACACCCACAAUGCUUCCUUUUUCAUAACUGCAAAUUUGAGUGACCAAACUUUAUAUGGAUCGCACUUUGGAGUUAACAUCCUUUUUGCAAGUUAGAGAAACUUUAUAGGAGUUCAACGGCGGCUGUGCUUGAGUGUGAAACUUGUGGUCAUGGCCAAAGUCUUGGUCAUAAUUUUUCCACGCACUUUCUUUUGUACAACCAAUAAGAAAAUCCCAAGUAGGCGAUUAAAGUCCAUGGAAAAUUUGAUCGCAAGAGUUCAUUGUAUUUGCUACUGGGGCCCUUGGCAAUUGUCAACAAAAAAAAUUUCUCCGUCAAUGUUUAACGAGCCGGAGUCUACAUGCCCAAACCUCCCAAAUUGAGCUUGUAUCUUUUUCUUACCCAACGUCCAAGCAAUAUCCUCUCAAAUAUUUUACAUUGAAGGUAUAGAUGUAAUCGUGAAUAUAUCCAACCAAAUGAAAGAAACUCUCCAAUAUAUACGCCAUUCACAGAAAGGUUUUUUGGAUUUCUUUCUUAUCCAAUCUGGGUUCAUCGAGUUAGAUUCACUCGGAAAAUGCCCUCCAUUAAUGCGUGAUCAAUGCAUAUGAGCCAUUAGAUCUUAUGCAUCUCACAUGGUCUCAUAAAAUUUACUGGUGAAAAUGCAUUAGCUCACAUAAUCGUAGCCCUUCAGGAUUGGUGUAAUUGAUUGGAGCACUUAGCGAUUUCUAGCUCAAGAAUUUGGGAAUCACCCAUUGAUCCCACUAUUUUCAUGCAAACUAGCCUUCUGCACAAAUCGACCUUUUGCAUUUAAUUGGUCUAUAGGACUUGUAGAGCAUUUCGAAAAACUUUCAGUUAACCCAGUCUUCACGCUCCGAGCCAUCAAGUAUAAAACAAAAGGCGUUAGCGCGGGAUUUCUGCCCACUCCAAAAACAAUUGUUCGGAGCGUGUACGGGUCAAAUGUGGGAAUUCCAUUACGCGCCUAACCCCUCUUCCCGAAAGAAAACAAUUAAGACGAUUGGAAAAAGAAAAAGUCUCGCAAGUGCGAGGGAGGGGGAGAAGAAGGGGUAGGGUUGCUGUGAGUUUGACGCGUGUACAGUCGCGCGUGGGGGCCCCACCCGGGUGGGGUGAGGGUCCCGCCUCGCCAGCAAAAAGUCCAAAUCCUUAUUUAUUGCGCGACUUCUGUAGAGAGGGGAGGACCAUGGCGGAGGAGGUGCGAUGAGAUGGAAACUGGGGUUCCGAUUUGGAUUUUAGCAAAUUCUCAAGUUCUAGAAAAGCAGCUCGCUCUCCUUAGUUUCUUUAUCAAUUUUAAUGAAGAAAAUUCAUUUCGGACGUCUCCCAAAAGACGCCCUUUUACGUCUUCUAAAUAAAUCACGCAGAGCUAUAUUUUAAUCCAAUUUUUCAAAAAAAAAAAAAGUAAGGGGAAAUUGAAAAGCACAUUAGGCUAGGCGUGCAAUUUCGAUAAUUUUGUCACGUAUUAAAUAUUUUAUAAUACUUCAUUUAUCUCCUAAAGAGUAUUUUUUUUUUUUUUUUCCUAAAGAGUACUUAAAGUGUAGAUAAAGCGACCACCUUUGCAAGACCUGUGCCUUUCGGGGCAGACGACUUUGGAUUUUACACCAUCAUCUGUCAAGAGAAGACCUUGAUGUUUUGAUUGACGCUUCCUCUGCAUACCAUACUCCGUGGAAGCAUCCUGGAGAGCAAUUCCACCCAAUUUUUUCAUCGUUUCAUCCAAAUCACUGCUAGAAGAAUCGUCUGCAUCAUCUGACGAAGAAGAAACCUGCUGUAACAAAUUUUUAGCGUCUAAAAGAGAAUCGCUCCCACCGAUUCCUUCCAAAUAAUCUUGAGCAAUUUCAUCAUCAACAUCUGAACCACUAUCAGACAUGUUCUCGGAGUCAUCACUUUCAAAAGAAUCUGUCGCUCGAUCCUGCUCAGCUGACUCCGACUCCGAGUCUUCCUCAUCACCAUAUGCCGCAACAUCAUCCUCACCAUCUUCCUCAUCGGAUAUAUAUUCUGUAUAUAUUUCCAAUCCCCCAAUUGAUACAAACCCAGAAUUUUCCUUCGUGGAUGUAUCCUUUGACAAAAGCUGAGCCCCCUUUUCAGCUGCUCCAGAGUCAAAGCUCUCACGAUAAUCCACUUCCUGCUCAGGCGAUGACAUGCCACUCUGUGACUCUUCUCGAUUUUCCAUUUUCCCUGAUGAUGCUUUGAUUCCCGUUGGAGCUGCAUUGUAUUCAUUACAAUAGCCCAAUCCUGUGUGUGAGCUAUCGCCGAGAACAAAAUCUGAAUGAUACUCAUAACUGAUAUUUGCUUGAUCCACUGACGAUGGCCCUUCAUCUACAUAAGCAACAAUUUGGCUGUCCUUUGAACCACACAGAAUGAAAGGCUGAGAAAAUUCCAUUUUAUUCUCUCCAUUUGUAUCUCCGAACGUCGAUACUGGAUGCAAACCAUCCUGUAAAAAAAUAUAACUAACUCAGAUCAACACAAGUGAGAGACUGAGAUCAGCUGAUCCGCCGCCACCGCCGCCGCUGUUUAUUCUCGAAUUCGAUCUCCUCUUGCCUCCAGCCAUGUCCGAGCUCGCGAAUCAACUUCGAUUGAAUCUUCUGACCUAAUUGAUCGAUCGAUCGAGAUCGAUUUGGGGGCGAUGACGAGAGAAAGGGAUCACCUCCUCCCGCGUGUGGUUUCCUUGCCUUGGGGGAAGCGGUCACAUCUGGACCGUUGGCUAUUCGCCGUGGGCCGCAAGGGGACUCGUGGACGGCUGUGAUGCGGCGGCGGGAGCUUGGGGAUGUCAGAUUCCACUACGCAAACAGCUGCGGCGGGGGGCUCUUUCUCUUUGGGAAUAUGCGAGAACCAAUGCCAUCGGCCAAUCAGCAAUUCAGCAUGGUCUUUUGGGAUUGUCGUGGACAACUAGUCUAGCUAGGUGGAAUUCGACCUUGGUUUUGCAAUUUGAUAGGGAUCCUCUAAAACCUUUUUGGCUUAGGCUACCGAAAUCACGACCAUUUGUGAUGUAUUUAUAUGUUAAUGGGAUUAAUUGAGUCAAUUUGCUCUCUCAAGUCAUGGGACCCCAAAUUUUCUUUAAGGAAGUCUCUAGAUAUUUAGACAUUAAUUAAAGGAGAUGAGACGCAAUAAUGAUCACUGAGUUUUGCAUAUCCAGUAUAAUUUAUUCGUCGAUACAUGAAAGAUCUCUAAGUAGAAAUAGUUUUUUUAUUACUGUAAUGAAGUUGGAUUGCACGCAAACUAGCUUUCCUAGAUGCUCAUUUCUUUUUAUUGAAGAUACCACACUGUUAUAAUUGGACAACAACUUCACAAGUUGCUUUAUAGAAGUUUGUCAUGUUUGGGAGGUUGAAGAUGUCCUUGGGGACCAUCCUCGCUUUACAUUUUGAAGAUAAGCACACCAUGAUGCACAAUCAUAAGAAAAAUUAGAGUGGCAACAAAUUACACUUCUAAUUUGGUUUGCUCUUCAAUUUGCAUUAGCCUUGUAGACUAGAUAUGCAGCGGAAGAUACAAUGUGGAAGAGAGAUUAUUUCGAGAAGGCGAACAAGGGAUGGUAUUUUUAGCUGGCAAUUUGGUUGCGGUUUUAGCUACCUACUUUGGCAAUUUGGUUUGCUCUCUAGAUCACCAGAUCGCGUGACUUUCAAGGUCAAAAGCCACGAGCAUUCGUGCUGCCUUUGAGCUUGUGGCCAUGGCCUUGAGUGCAACAUUGAAGCUCUAACAGUUAACAUUGGCAUGGUGGAAGAUGGCCCGGGGGGGGGUUAUUUAUCUCUUUUUCCUUGGGUCCAAGGGUUUGUUUGUCUUUUCAACUUGGGUCUUUCUCUGAAAAUGCAAAUUGUGCAUUAUAAAAAGUGGGGAUGGUUUUUCCAAGGUUCUCUAUAUUUUUUCCUCUAUUUUUUUUUUUUUGUGAAAAAAGGGCAUAAUACCUUACUUAUAUGUUAUUUGAUAUAAUAAUUCUCUUUUGCACGUUAAACUUGCUUCUACAUAUUUUAGAUAAUCUAUAAGGUCGAUGUUAUAUGAUGCGUAGCUUUAUCACAAUCCUGCCUCUAGAGCUAAGCUCCUAGCGUAAUGUUAGAAUGUCAUUCCGCACAGAUAGGGCUAGCAAAAGUAGUCAUGAAAAUGCAAGUUUGACCGUGAAUUUAACUAUCUCAUGAGACACUCUAGCACAAGUGCACCUUCAUAAAAGUUAGACAGAAAUCAAUGUCCUAACCAAAUUGCAUAUGAGCUAUGAACCUAUGAAUUUGAUGAACAUGCAGUCAUUCACGCUAUCUUGUCAAGCAAGAGGAGUUUUAUGUCUCGAACGGUUUGUGAAUGGACCGAGUGAUAUAUAGAAACAAAAAUUUUCAUUCGGAAAUGAAAGCAAAUGUGCUAUUGUAGAAAUAACAAAGGUGAGAAGAGACAGCUGUGUUUUUCUAGUAUUGUUUGUUAUCAUUAUUAGUAUGAUCACUUAACCAAAUAAAGAUGAGCUAGCAACUACGUAAAAACCACCUUUUCAAAAAAGGGAAGGAUCACGGCAUGCAUUGUCUUCAAGGAAAUUAAAACAAUACCUUAUUCAGUUGUGAAGGUGAAAACUUACAUUGACCCAAUAAAUCCACAUUGAGGCCAACGCUCAUCAAAGACAAUAACAAAUGAUAGGAAAAAAACUCAAUCCUACCAUUUCCUAGAAAUACAAAACGGGAGAACCUAAAUUGUUGGGCCACUGGACAAUUUUCGAAAACCAUCUUGCACAAAAUAGUAGCAUGUGAUGAAUAAGCUCCAACAUGUGGUGAUAACCAGUUCCACAUAAUGAAACCAUCCCUGCCGCCAUUGGGGGUUGAUGAACAAAACAACUAGAAUUACCAGUAAAACCAUAGUGUAUGACACUCCGAAGCUAAUGUAGAAUGUCUCUCCGUCUAUGAAACCAUCUUCUUUAGCUUUCGUGCAUGAUUUUGUUGCUGAGCAAUUAACAUUAAUGGUUGUCAAACAGUUAUUACUCAACGGCAGUCCACACAAAAGAUGGUUUCCGUAGUAACUGCUUUCAUCGAAUGACCCAAAUUGAUUUUUGUUUGGUAUGGCUCCUGACAAGUCGUUGUAAGACACAUUGAAGACUCCCAAAAAAUUCAACCGAGUGAGCUCUUCAGGGAUAGAACCAAUCAAGUUGUUAUAGGAAAGGUCAAUGCUCUCUAUCUUUGUGAGGUUCGACAAUGACAUCGGUAUAUGUCCUGUAAGCUUGUUGUGCGACAGAUUCAGCAUAAGCAUGUCUUGUGAGAUUGCAAUCUCUGGUGGGAUCUCCCCACUGAAAUGGUUGUAAGAAAAAUCUAGUCCUAUCAUGUUAAGGAGUGCGUAGCCUUUAUAAGCAUCAAACCUUCUUUUUGUUGUGAACCCAACAGUAUGUGGAACUCCCCAUUUAUCGUCUACCAGAAUUUUAUCAUGGUAGAACUGGCUAUCGUAGAGUCGGGCCAAGCUUCUAAUUGUCCUCACAUAACACCAGGGUGACAAUAAUUGACCUCCAUAGUCGGAACGCGGUGUUGAAUCUACCUUAUUGGCAUAUCCUCUAGAGGAGAAAUUCAUGGGUCCCAAGCAAAUAGGUAAUGGACCAAACAGAUUGUUUUUAGAAAGAUCGAUCAUACUUAAGCUUUUCAAUCUGCACAAUUGCUUGGGAAAUGUUCCAUAGAAGCUAUUACCUCUCAGUAAAAGAAUGCUUAAUUGAGAGACAUUACCUAGCCAAUAGGGUAUGCUUCCGAAGAACUCAUUUUCACUCAAAUCCAAGGUCACCAAAUUGGAGCUAUUAAGGAGUAGAUGCACGAUUGAACCAUUCAAUUUGUUCCCAUUCAGAUGGAUAUGUCUCAACUCCGGUGUUAUGAAAGAUGAUGCUAAUGAACCAGAGAGAUUGUUGUCAGACAAAGCCAAAUACUGGAGCUGAGGAAGAUUAAAGAGUCCUUGAGGGAUGAGGCCAUUUAACUGAUUUUUGGACAAGUCAAGGAGCGCAAGCGAUGACAAGUUUGCAAUCACUCUGGGAAGUUGACCAAUGAAAAUGUUGUUGCUAACGUCCAAUUCAAACAGAUUUGCAAGUGAUGAAAGAAAAGAGAGAUCUCCAGUGAACCUAUUGUGUUCUAAGUUUAGGCAUAACCAAUUUAGGUUCUUGGUGUCGUUGGAAAACACGAUUUCUCCUUGCAAGUUGUUAUAUGCUACGUUGAGUUUUUCCAAUGAUGAGUUGCUAUCUAGUAACUGGAUGGGUAGUCCCUUGGAGAAAUUGUUGUGGGAAAGGUCUAAGGAAUAUAGGGAUUUCAUACUACCCAGUUCAGAUGGAAUAUUCCCUUCCAAUCUGUUGGCUGAUAGAUUAAGGUGGGACAGAUUUGGGACAUUUAAACAAAAUUCGGUCGUGAGCUCUCCUCUCAUGCCGUUGUUAGACAUGUCCAUCAUCGAAAGAUUAUGAAGGGCCAUAAGUGGAACCUCAAGUUUCGCAAAUAAGUUAUUCGCCAUAAGAAGAUUUUCCAACUUAGUGUUAUUUUCCAACAACCAAGUUGCAAAGGGACCCGGAAUGUCAUUCAAGGAGAGAUCAAUGGUUCUUAGGUCAUAUUGAUGAUUGAGAAAGCCAAGAGAAGUCACUUUGAAUCCUUUCGAUAGACUAUUUGAUAUACUAAAAUCCUUCAAUUGGAACCUCGGGAUCGAAGGCGCAACUUUGGAAUCAAUUGUUAGUUUAUUGUCAUCAAGCAAGAGGACCUUAAGUCUUGAAUAGUUUGCAAGUGGGCUGAGUGAUGAGGGGAUAUCAAAAUAAUUACCCGAAAUGGAAAGCAAUUCGAGUGAGGUAAGACUAGUGAGGGGAGAUGAUGCGAUGUUAUCUGUGAAUUCAUUGUCUUCAAGAAAUAGAACCCGGAUAGAUGUCAUGUUUCGCCAGCAUGUAGGAAGCCUGCCAGUAAUUCCGUUAAUGCUAAGAUCCAGCUCUUCUAGUUUUAUGAGGUUACACAAGCCUGUUAUGGAUAUCAAAAGUCAAUUCAAUUACAGUGGUAGAUAUCAGAACGUAUAGCAAUGAUAUACACAUACAUGAAGGAUUCAUUUUAUGUCCAAGUUUUACUCUGAGAGAUCAGGACUUACUCUGAUUUGAUAGUUUGCCAUUAAGACCGGUGCUGUAUGAGGACAACAAUCUAAGAGAUUUCAAAGGACCAAGGCUGGAAAGGAUUCCCAUGGUGGUGUUCAACGAAGAAUAAUCCAAGAUGAGCUGUUCCAACUUACUGAAGUUAUGGAAAUCUUCUCAGAAAACGAAAGAUUAUUGACAAUCAGAUUUCCUUACACAGACAUAAUCAAGAAAUGGCAUAGAAAUAUCAUGAGUGAAUGGAAUACUUUUAAUAAAAACUUAGGUUAUGUUUUUUAUUCGGAAAAUAUGACUUUUCGGGAAAAUGUUUUCCAAGAAGUCAUUUUUUAGAAAAAAGAUAAUAUUUUCCGAUGUUCGGUUGAAAUCUGAAAAUAAAUUAGGAAAUAUUUUCCAUCAUUUGGUAUGAAAAAUCUGAUUUGAUUUUCAUUCAUGUACUCCUUUCAGUAAUAUUUUUACUUUAAAAAAUAUAAAUUUUAAUUAUUUUUUCUUUUUUCUUUUUUCUUUUUUCCUUCUUUUCCGGUUGAUCACCAUCCAUAGGUGACAUCAAGAUUGCCCGAGGUAGACAAGCUCGAGCCUUGUUAGAUUGGCGAAGCCUCGGCCUUUGGUGAGCUUGUCCUUUGCUUGUGGUCAGUCGCCAUUGUCGGCGAUCGAAUGAGGAAGAAGGAAAAAGAAUAACAAGGAAAAAAGAAAGAAAGAAAGAAAGAAAUUAAAUAUUUGAUUUUUUUAAAUGAAAAAAGAAAAAAUAAUAAAAAAGAGUGCAUGGAGGAAAAUAGGUUUAGGUGAAAGAAAGAGAAUGGAAAAUGAUUUCCUCAUUUUCCCCACUUUUGAAAAUGCCUUUUCCAUUGUAGGAAAAUAUUUUCCUUCACUUAUUUAUUUUCCGUAACCUAAAUGCUAGAAAAUCUGGAAAACAUUUUCUUGAAAAUUGUUUUCCGCAAAACAAACAGAGCGUUAUUAUGAGCAUACAUUUAUUAAUGGGUUUGACUAACCUUGAGUAGUAAUCGUUCCUUCUAUUGUAUUAUACUGGAGAGAAAGGAUCUUGAGGGAUGGUAGUGCCCCUAAUGCUCGCAUGAUGGUCCCCACAUCCUUCAAGUGGACAUGAUUCAAGUAGAGGUUCUCUAAGUGCCUCAAGUUUUUUAUGCCUACCAGUAACAUUCCAAGAAAAUAACUUGCUUGGCAAUAAAGUUGUGAAAGCACCCAUGCAGAUGCUUCGCGACAGGAAUCUUUUGAAUCGGGCAACAUUUCUAUAUGAAAAGAGAAGGGGGUUCUAAUCUAUGUAGCACAGACACUCUCUGGAAGUCUUCGUGUCGUGUCCGACACUCCGACACGUGUCCGACACGCUCCGACACGUCCCGACACGCUCCAACAUGCGGUCAACGAGUGUCGAAAAAUCCAACACAUGGUCAACUCUCUCCGACACACGAGUCUAGAAUUCCGACACGCGAUUCCGACACGCAUGGGAUCAAUUUUAAAAUUUCUAAUACUUGAGGGGUCAAAAUAUAAAUAUACACAAAAGAAGUAAUAAAAUUGCUAUAAAUAUACACACACGAGGUCAAUUUUUUUUUUUCAGUUUUGUUUUUUUAGAAUUUUUUUAUUUUUUAAAGUCUUUUACUAUGAAAGAAGUAAUAAAAAUGCUAUAUAGGAUAAAUAAAUAAAUUUAAAAAUAUCAUUUCGGCGUUUUUCUUUAAACAAUGUUUUUUUCCUCUAAGUUGUGUAUUAUUGUAACAAAUUAAAAUAAUGAAUGAUAUUAUUUAAUAUUUUUCGUGUAAAUUAAUUCUAGGCUAUUAUUAUUAUUAUUUAUUUAUGUAUUUAUAUAUAAAAAUAUAUUUAAUAUAUAACGUGUCGGAAUGUGUCAAAAUUCUCUAUUUUUAAGAAAUGACGUGUUGGUAUGUCGUUUCGUGUCGUGUCGCGUGUCGCGUGUCCGUGUCGGUGCUAUAUAGGUUUUAAUUCAUGACUUCUAUAUUCUCAAUAUGACGCAGAUGUAAAGCUAUGAGAGAUACUGCAUGAAAACUAAAAUAAUACCUUCAAUUGUAGCUGCUGCAUUGACUGCAUUACAUCUUAUGUCUAGCUCCUUUAAAUGAUUGAAACAACCUAAUUUAUCCAUGAACCUUGCUAACUCAAGUUAAGGAUGGCGAUUUUGUCCGGAAUUAUGAACAGAGAAUAAGUCGGAGAAACUAUCAUUCACAUUUAAAGUCCAAUUCAAAUGUUGUUUUGGAGAAUAGACACCUGAGAGUUGGAAUUGUACCGCGAACAGAUAGAAUAGAACUAUCUAGAGUAAAUAAUGAAAGCACCCACGCGGAUGCCUAGGAAUAGGAAUCUUUUGAAUCGGCAAUAUUUCUAUAUGGAAAGAGAAGGGAUGACUUCUAUAUUCUUAAAAUGAAGCACAUGUAAAGGUAUUAAAGAGCAUGCAUGAAUCAUAGUCUAGUCAGUUUAAUUUAUGAAUAAAUAAGGAAGAUUUCACAUGAAAACUGAAACAAUACCUUCAGCAGUAGCCACUACAUCGAUUGCAUUAUCACUUAUGUCAAGCUCCUUUAAAUAACCGAAACCACCUAAUUCAUCCACAAACAUUGCUAACUCAAGUCAAGGAUGGUGAUUUUGUAUGGAAUUAUGAACAGAGAAUAAGCUGGAGAAACUAUCAUUCGCAUGUGAAGUCCCAUUCAAAUGUUGUUUUGAAGCAUAGACACCUAAGAGUCGGAAUUGUAUCGUGAACAGGUAAAAUAGAAUUAUCUAGAGUAAAUAAUGAAAGCACCCACACAUAUGCCUUGGGAUAGGAAUCUUUUGAAUCAGUAACAUUUCUAUAUGGAAAGAGAAGGGGGUUGCAAUAUAUGACUUCUUUAGUCUUAAUAUGAAGCACACAUAUAGGUAUUAAAGAGCAUGCCUACAUGACUCACAAGCUAGUUAGUUUAAUUUACGAAUAAAAAUGAGGUUCUUGCAUGAAAACUGAAACAGUACCUUCAACAAUAGCCACUGCAUCAACUGCAUUAUAACUUAUGUCCAGCUCCAUCAAAUUACUAAAACCACCUAAUUUUUCCACAAACAGUGUUAACUGAAGUCAUGGAUGGUGACUUUAUAUUGAAUUAUAAGCAAAGAAUAAGUUAGAGAAAUUUACCGUUCACAUGUAAAGUCCCACUCAAAUUACUGCCUCUAAGGAACAGAUGCCGUAGAGAUGGAAUUGUACCAAGAAUGGAUAGAAUAGAAUGAUCCAAAAAGUUAUAGCUCAAGUCAAGCACCUCUAGUUUGCUCUGCCUUGAUGAUAGCAAGUUUGGUUCUGCAAACAAACAAUAAAACGCAGUAAAAGCCGCAGAAAUCUAUUCGAGGACACGUGCAAAAUAGAUAUUGCCAUUUCAAGGGGAAAUAUGUCGUAGACUCGUGAAUAAAUGAUGACAUGGACAUGAUCAUCUAUCAUGCAGGAAGUGAGUAAGAACCUGGACGUGAUUAACUUAUGAGUUCAUUAGAUAAUGAGUAUCUCUUUUUUAUAGGAAAUGGAUGAACGACAAAUAUAUACCUUCUGGUGCAAUCCACCCUCCUAAAUUGUUGCCUCGCAAGUGGAGGCUCUUGAGUUCUUCAAAGGGAAGAAGUAGAGAAGUGUUUAGGUACCAAGUUUUGGAGCCGAAAUGGUCAUAUCUUGAAUUGGAGAGCAUUAGCUGAGUGAUUCGUCCUGUGGUGGGGUUGCACUUGACACGUUCCCAACUGCAACAGUUAAAAUAUGAUCCCCCAGCUUCCACCCAAUAUGUCAGGUUCAAUGUGGCAUUGAGCGCUAAGAGGGCACCCCUUUCUUGCUCCUGACACCCACGAGAGCCACAUAAAUGUGCAAUACCCCAAACCACCACAAACACCCACAGUGCUUCCUUUUUCAUGACUGCAGAUUCGAGUGACCAAACUUUAGAUGUAUCGCACUCUGGAGUUAACAUCUUUUUUGCAAGUUAGAGCAAUUUUAUAGGAGUUCAACGGCGCCUGCGCUUGAGUGUAGAACUUGUGGUCAUGGCCAAAGUCUUGGUCAUCUUUAGUGAUGAAUGUAGCUCAACCACUUUUGGUGACAAGGUUAAUUAGCGUGCCAAGCAAGGAAUGUACAUUACGCAAUGGCCAGAUUUCAUUGGUGGAGAAUUUUCCAAAAGUCUCUAUUGGCAUAAUUUUUCCACACGGUUAGUCUAGCCUAGCCUAGUCAACCGUUGUCAUUUAUAUGACUAAUUCAAUCUCUAUCCAAAGUAAAGGACAAGCCUUGUCAUUUACUUGGAACUUUUGGCAAAAAGUGAUCUUGACUAGAGGCAUCUCAGAAGUAGACAUGUUGUAAAGGUAAUGCGAAAAUUGACAAGAUCUUGCUAUUAAAACAAUGCAAAAACAUUGAAGAAAUGGACGGGGAACAACGGAUAUACCAAAUAUUUAUGUGAUUCGAUCCGAAUAUGGGUACCUACCCAUGGGAGAGGCGGCGAUAAAUAAUUCACUGUAAUAAGAGAUUUAGAGUUAUAAUUGCUUACACGGUCGAGUAUUUCCCACACCUAGACUAAGACCAAACUCAAAAGUGUUUACAAAUAAACAAAUUAAUUAGAUGUAAAGUUCACGGUGCAAAUCAUUGCGUGUUUAAGCCUAUAGCAAAACCCUUUGGACAGCUAAUUCAAGAGUGUCCAUACAUUCUUUCUUUUGUUCUCUGUGUGGUGGCUCAAUUUCAAAAGAACCCCUAUUUGGCUUCUUUAGUAAAGGAAACCCAAGAAAGCAAAACCUUGCUUUUAAUUUAUUUUCUUUUCUCUAACCACUUCCUGAACCCAUGCGCUUUCUUUUGUACAAACAAUAAGAAAAUCCCACGUAGGCAAUUAAAGUCCACAGAAAAUUUGACCGUAAGCGUUCAUUGUAUUUGCUAUUGGGGCUCUUGGCAGCUGUCAACAAAGAAAUUUCUCCGUCAAUGCUUAACGAGCUGGAGUCUACACGCUCAAAUCUCCUAAAUUGAACUCGUAUCUUUUUCUUACCCAACGUCCAAGCAAUAUCCUCUCAAAACUUUUGCAUUGAAGGUCUAAAUGUAAUCAUGAAUACAUCCAACGAAAUGGAAAUAAAUGAGGUAAGCGAAUGACCAUUAAGUUAGGAAGUGGGAUUGCACACAAAUUUGCCUUCCUCGAUGCUUGUUCCUUCUUGGAGGAAUCCCACAGCGAUAUAAUUGGAUGACUUUACUGGUAGCUUUGUGCUCGAGUUUGUUGGCUUUUGAUGCAUCCGAAUUUACAUUCGAUCCUACAAAGUAAACCAAGCAGACCAAAACACACUCUUGUGCUCACAAAAAUCACCCUUCUCACACACAUACAACUGAGAAAACCGGAUUUUUUUCAGUUUCCUUUCAAGCCCCCAUUUUUAUCAAAGGAAAGCGCGAGCAAAACCGAGAGAAAUGGACCUCGCUGGGGGACUGGAGAUGGGGUCUUGACAAGACGUUGAGUAAUGCCAGUUCGACAAGAGGCCGCCUUCGACGGAGAGGCUGCCUCUGAUUGACACCGAGGCGCCGAAUCCCCUCCCCUCCCUCUUCUUCCGCCGCCGCCGCCCGUUUCUCCUUGAAUUCGAUCUCCUCUUACCUCCAGCCAUGUCCGAGCUCGCGAAUCAACUUCGAUUGAAUUUUCUGACCUAAUUGAUUGAUCAAUCGUGACCGAUUUGGGGGCGACGACGAGAGAAAGGGAUUACCUCCUCCUGCGUGUGGUUUCCUUGCCUUGGGGGAAGCGGUCGCAUCUGGACCGUUGGCGAUUCGCCAUGGACCGCAAGGGGACUCGUGGACGGCUGUGAUGCAGCAGCGGGAGCUUGGGGAUACCAUAUUCCGCUACGCAAACAGUUGCGGCGUGGCCUCUUUCUCUUUGGGAAUAUGCAAGAAUCGAUGCCACGGCCAAUGAGCCUGGUCUUUUGGGAUUGUCGUGGACCACUAGUCUAGCUAGGCGGAGUUCGAUCUUUAUUGGUUUUGUAAUUUGAUAGGGAUCCUAUGAAAAUUUUUGGCUUAGGCUACCGAAAUCACGACGAUUUGUGAUGUAUUUAUAUGUUAAUGGGAUUAAUUGAAUCAAUUUUCCCUCUCAAGUCACAGGACCCCAAAUUUUUUUUAAAGAAGAUGAGACGAGAGAAUGACUAUUGAGUUUUUGCAUAUCCAAUAUGAUUUAUUCGUCGAUACAUGAAAGAUCUCUAAGUAGAAAUUUAUGGUUUUAUUAAUUAUUGUGAUGGGCCUAAGUUGGUCCGUCCACUCAUGUUGGGCCUAAAAGCCUGGCCCACAAGAUUAGAGCCUAUGGAUGAAGGGAUACGUUUCUUUUUUGGAGGGGACGUAUAUAAGGAGGAAAAGAGAGGGAGAAACGUACCUUUUGGUUUUUACAUACGUUCCUCCUCCCUCUCUCCCUUGAAACACUCCAAAAAGAACAGAAAAUUAAAAGAGACAACACUCUCUUUCCUUCAAGGCUAAUUGAUGUCAUCGGAUCAAACGAAAUCAGUUUCUCUUUCUCAUAUCGGCGUCAGUGUUUAAUCUGUGGCUAAUAAGGUACGUUCGAUUCUAUGAUGUGCCUUAGGAUCGGUGAUGUAUGUGUUUUUCCAGGGCUCGUCUUCCGCACAUUUUUAGGGGUUCAAUUUAGUGUCGAAUUCGGUUUAAGGGAAUCAGAAAUUCCCUUUUAUAAAUAAUUUCUUUAUUACAAGAAUGAUAUCGGAUUGCACGCAAACUAGUUUUCCUAGAUGCUCAUUUUUUUUUAUUGGAGAUACCACAUUGAUAUAAUUGGACAACAACUUCACUGGUUGCCCUCUUAAAACAUGGAGAUGCUGUCUACCGAGUGUACUGUUUCGACAAAAGGCUACAUCCUAAGUUGCGCUUUCUUGAAUGGUUUUCUUUCUUACCAUGCUCACGAUCUCUUCUAUCCUCCGUGGGAAACCAGAAAACUGAAACGACAGUUGGUCCGGGGCAGGUGUUGACAUGAAAUUAUGCGUCCAACGACCCCUUUUUGUCCAUGACUUUGCGUUCUCGAAUUGAGAGUGGCAUGUUGUGACAUUGAUGGAAGAUGAUGGUGAUGACUUGUGGGUGAUCCCCAUUUCCUGAAAUUAGAGGGUGCUAAAUGUAGAAUUUCCAAAUUUAGAUGAAAUUGGAGAACGAGGGCAAUCGAAGAGGAAACUUAAUUUUGCACUCUACAGUUGUUUUCUCCACGAGAGUUCGUAAUUUUCGAGCAUAUCUAGUAUGUGUUAAUGAGUCCACUAAAGGCAUUACCUAAUUUGUUGUUCCAUAAAGAAAGCCAUGGUUGAUUUCACAUUGAAAAUUGAUAGCCUAGCUUAGUCCGAUGAAUAAAAAAAAAUGGUUAAUACCCUGAAAAACCAAAAACUGGUAUACUUGUGAUAAAUUUACCCCAAGCAACCAUAAAAAAUUCCAAACUGGUAUACUUGACAAAUUUACUCUAAAUUAAUUUAUUCGACCGCCACCAACCCUAAAUUGAUACAUUUGUGAUAAAUAUACCAUCUAUUAAAUUGGAUUAAUAAUACAAAAACCACAAAAAUGGUAUAACUGUAACAAACAGAUAGUAAAAUCCUAAACUAAUACAGCAAUUUACUGUUAUAUGUCAUUCAACUCAGUAAUUUAACAGUAUAAUUUAACAGAAACUAAUAAAAGGUAAAUUUGUUAGAAAUGUACCAAUUUAGGGUAAGUUUAUCAAAGAUAUACCAAUUUAAGAUUUUUGGUGAUCAAAAAAUUAAUUUAGCGUAAAUUUAUUAUAAGUGUAUCAGUUUGAGGUUUUUCAAAGUACUUUUUUUUUUUUUUGGUAAGUUGUUUUUCAGGGUAUUGACUUUAAAAAAAAAUAUUACAUAAAGUAUGACAUCAUGGUGAUGGAAGAUGACAUGGUAGGGGGACUAGAUAGAUAUUUCAAAUUCAGCCUUUUUACCAAUCACGUUCUUCUUGAUGUAAUGGCUAUGCGUUCCAUAAAAUUGAAAAUGGAUUGAGUGUGAACUGAGAUCUCAAAAGCAUAUCUCUUGGGACCCUUGAUUAGGGGCAUCACUAGCAACAGAAUUCCAUGACUUGUUAAACGGGUCAUUGACUUGACUUGCAUUUUAAGGGACAACGACCUUGCGUCCGUGUCCGUGCCCAAUUUGUACGGCGGUCACUUAUUGACCAAAAUAGUAUCGAUGUUAUAAUGAAUUCAAAUGGUCAUUUUCGGUAGAAAUCACGUGAGAUCUACGUAGGAUCAAUCUUUUUUAUCAUUCCAAAUUCAUUUAGAUACAUGUACUGGAUUCAUGUAAAGAUGCCUCCGUCAACCCAAAUACAACUUUUUGUCCUAUGUUUAUCCAUGUUGAGACAUUUUGCUAAAGCAGCAAGCUAGCCUCUUUUCUUCUUCUUCUUCUUCUUCUUCUUCUUCUUCUUCUUUUUUUUUUUUUGGCCUUUUGCCAUUGGAAGGCAAGUCCAAAACAAUCGAAUCUAGUGCCAUAAAAAAGAAAGAUUAAAAUCCAGAACGGCAUCUGACAACCAACAGAAUAAAAUUUCCAUCCGAUGGCAUCUGUAGAUCAUUUAGUUGAAAUUUUCCAACUUCUAUGAUAGCAAAGUGGCAUUAUAUUGCUGGGAUUUUUAUUCUAUAAUUCUACUGCUUUCAAGUUUCUUGGAUAAAUAAAUGGAAACAUAAAUAAAUAAAUAAAUAAAUAAAUCCAACCUCCUCUAUGCUCUGCUUGGUUGAUACAAACGAACAUCAAAUUUGAUAAAUUAAUAAGAUACAAGUACGCACCGGUCAUAGCUUUGAAUUUGGGUUACAUAUGCAAUUUAUAGUCGAUAAAGUUUAAAAUUAAUACUUUCUCUAUGCAUAGCUUAUCCACUUGCGAUUUGAGUAUUGGUAGAUCAGCAUGGAACCGGCCGAAGUCCAAGAUACAAACUCGAAAAAUAUAGAUGGUGGCUUGACCUCGAGAAGAGAUAUUGAUAAUUUAAUGAGAUAUUUUCCGCUUCUUUGGCAAUGGAAAUUGGAAAGCAUGAGCUGCAAUCUGCCUUCAGUCUGUAGACCGAUUCAAGGGGCAAAGGCGUUGACCUCUUUGGAUGAGUAGGGAAAACGAGAGAAUAAUGAGAUUGACAGUACAUACGAGAAAAGGAGGAAAUUCAGAAGUUGGUGUUCAAUCAUGUUCAGUGUGACAAAUUGCAGCAAGAUUCAGGCUGCUGAACAUAUAAAGUUUAGAAUGAAAACAAAAUCUGGUUAAAUUCCCUUUAGGUCAUCCAAGUUAGGGAACGACCGAGGCAUUGUUAUUCAAGAAAAGCAUGAAAUCUUAGAUUCGAUUGAUUUCUACUUGACACUAGAUCUGAUGUGGUUCAUGCCUCAAUAAGAGAUUUGCCUUUUUGACCAUGACUUGUCCAUCUCAACCCUUCUAGACACAAUGAAUUCUUUAUAUGAACAUCCGAAAAUUUUUCUUAAUCAUGAAUGGAUUUGAGUAAUAAUCAUGGUCCACACCACUAAACUCCUGGGAUAGGUAAGUAUGAAAUUAUUCAUACUUAAAAGAAUUUGGUCUUUCAUGCGGUCGAAUGCAACACCGAAAACAAAAGAUGGUUCAUGUUAAACGAAUUUAAACUUAAAAUGGAGAUUGAAUAAUUGCAUUAUUUCCCCUCUACUUUAGAAUUUAUAAUAAUGUAAUAUUUAUACAAUGUAAAACACCUCAGUAGGCAAUAAAAAUAAAUGAAGAGGAUGUCAAGGCAAGAAUCACGGGUCUCCAGGUUGCAUGAAUAAUGCUAGAUGAUUGAAGCCUAUUAUUCAGCUUCGCAUCUUCUGCAUCAAUUUGACCAGAUACUUUUACCCAUAUGUGUAGCCUGAUGUAAACACCAUUUGCUAUAUGCCAUUCAAGAUUUAUGAUUGAUAAGGAAUGAAGUCACACUGCGUGAGAUUAUUUGAGAUCCAAUUUGGGUUGGGUAUCAAUUCCAAUUUGGGUUCAUCGAGUUAGGUUCAUUCAGAAGAUGCCCUCCAUUAAUGCGAGAUCAAUGCAUAUGAGCCAUUAGAUCUUGUGCAUCUCACAUUGUCUCAUAAAAUUCACCGGUGAAAAUGCAUUAGGCUCACAUAAUCGUAGCCCUUCAGGAUUGGCGUAAUUGAUUGGAGCGCUUAGCAAUUUCUAGCUCGAGAAUUUGGGAAUCACCCAUUGAUCCCACAAUUUUCAAGCAAACUGGCCUUAUGCACCAAUCAACUUUUUGUAUUUAAUUGGUCUAUAGGACUUGCGGGGCACUUCGAAAAACUUUCAGUUAACCCAGUCUUCACGGUCCGAGCCAUCAAGUAUAAAACAGAAGGCGUUAGUGUGAGAUUUCUGCCCACUCCACAAACAAUUGUUCGGAGCGUGUACGGGUCAAAUGUGGUGAACUCGUGCGUGUCUACCCGGAAUUCCAUUACGCGCCUAACCCCCUCUUUCCCAAAGAAAACAAUUAAGACGAAAGUGGAGAAGAAGGGGUAGGGUUGCUGUGAGUUUGACGCGUGUACAGUCGCGCGUGGGGGCCCCACCCGGGUGGGGUGGUGGGGGGCCCGCCUCGCCAGCAAAAAGUCCAAAUCCCUUAUUUAUUGCGCGACUUUUUGUUAGAGAGGGGAGGACCAUGGCGGAGGAGGUGCCAUGAGAUGGAAACUGGGUUUCCGAUUUGGACUUUAGCAAAUUCUCAAGUUCUAGAAAAGCAGCUCGCUCUCCUUAGUUUCUUUAUCAAUUUUAAUGAAGAAAGUUCAUUUCGGACGUCUCCCAAAAGACGCCCCUUUACGUCUUUUAAAUAUAUGACGCGAAGCUAUUUUUUAAUCCAAUUUUUCAAAAUAAAAAAAAAGUAAGGGGAAAUUGAAAGGCACAUUAGGCUAGGCAUGCAAUUUCGAUAUUUUUGUCACAUAUUAAAUAUUUUAUAGUACUUCCUUUAUCUCCUAAAGAGUACUUAAAGUGCAAAUAAAGCGACCACCUUUGCAAGACCUGUGCCUUUCGGGACAAACGACUUUGGAUUUUACACCAUCAUCUGUCAAGAGAAGAAUCACACUUUCAUCGCCAGUUGAUGUUGAUGGCAUGUCAAGACUCUUCUUCCCUACGAUAAUGUUGCCGUAAAAUAAUAGCGCAUUUGGUAACGAUUCUGGCAUGUCUGGACUCUUCUUCUCUACGACAAUAUUGCCGUAAAAUAAGGACGCGUUUGAUAACGAUUCUGUUCUUGGAAACAGAUUCUUAUCAAAAAUAAUUCUUUAUUAUUUUGUGCCUUAGAAAUUUAUGUAGCGGUACAAUUUUACAAGUAUAGGACUAAUGUCAAGUUGCCAACCAACAAUUCUCCACAUUAUGGGGCAAGAACAUAUGAGUUAUAUUGAGUGGGAUGUCCACCGCCGUGCGAUGACCUAUCCCAAUUUUGAUGGCGGAUGACUCGAGCACUCAAAAUUCACAAGAUCAGACUCAGCGUUAUUUUCACGAAACAUCUGUUCCAAUUCGUCCAGUUCACACGAAAUUUCUGUGCUCGGCGCUAUCUCCUUGUCUCGCUCCUCAAACUAAAUUUCUGCGUCUGCCAAAUGAAGUCAAAAAAGGAAUCCACUUUUGUCUUUGGCCGUGCGUCUCCUGCGGCGCGGUGAUGUGGUCCGUGUCGAUCCGACGACUUCUCCGACUCCGACUCUUGAGUGCGAGCGUGCACGACGAAGACCCCCAACUGCUGAACGCGUGCCUGUUUUUACACGCACUAUGCUAGGCUGCAUCAAAAGCCAAGAUAAUAGGAUCUCGAGCUACCGGACCAGUUUGAUCCGACGUAAUCAUGUUCUAGUCGCGCCGUGACACUUGGCUCUCUCGAGUAAGCCGAUCAACACUCGCGGCGGUGACAAAUUCGUUGAUGUUUGUUGGGUUGUCGGGGAAUUGGGAACCGGAAAUCGAAAUGAAGAGAGCUCAUUCGGUAUCAUCGUCUGCUCCCUACUUCAUGGGAAUUCGAAUUGAAAAGAAAGAGCGUGCAGCAUACUGUCUUUAUAAAUUUCUGAGCACAUCCCAUGGACAUGCUUUGGAAGAGAUCAGGAACCUUCUUCGGAUUAAAGUAAUCAAGCGAAUCGAGGUCUAAUGCCAUGCAUGAGGAGCGAAUUAAGGACGAAAGUCGGGGUGUCAAUCUGUGUCGACAGCCAGUAUUCACGUGGUGUCAUGUUAAGGGGAUACUCUUAAAUUGAUUGGCCAGAAUAUGAUUCAUGUAAUCAAUAGGUAAUCCAGCCCCAACCCACAUGAUUCUGUUUAAUUAAAUAGGUCAAGCUAGGCCAGUCCAAUCCAAAUGUUACACAAAGAAUCCAAAUAACUUUUUAAAGGUAAAAUCUAGUUUUUUGUGGCUUUUACUCAAGAAAACUGAUGUGCUUAUAUGGUUAUUCACCCAAGGCCUACUAAUUUUAUGAAAAUUCGAAAUUUUAAUAUGAGAUAAUAGUGAUUUAUUCCGAUUGUGUGUAAUAUCAUCAUCAAUAGUACAGAAUUGGGGAAAAAAAACUAAGCUUAAACUCCUUGACUAGCCCCCAUUCCUCCAUCUUUGGUCAAUUUAACAAGCUCGACUGUUCUUGUGUCCAAUCCCGCCUCUUGGCUUGGACUGAGCCAUCUCAUUGGAAAUAUGAGAUUUGACUAAUCUCCCUUGUCUUGAUUUGAGCUCGAAUGACUUCAAUGGAGAAUUUGUCUGUUAAAUUUGAAUAGUUUAAUAAAGUUUGGUUAGGCAGAUAUUUCCCUUACGAUGUGUUAGAAUUUUUUGAGGGUCAAACAUCAUCAAUAGAAGUGUCAUGUAGAAAGUUUGGUAAGACAAACCUUUCCUUUACAAUGGGUUAGAAUUUUUUUGAGGGCCAAACAUCACCAAUAGAAGUAUCGUGUAGACCAUGACUUCUCAUGAACCAUUGGCCACGCAUUGAUCCAAAAUGUCAAAACAUAUCAAACCCCACAAAGACCUUAACUUCUUGAUGGAUGUGUACAAGUUUCUUCAUACGCAAUGCUCGUUUACGUUCUUUUUCUUUUUUGAAGCAAGGCGUCGUGGGUAGCUACUCCAAUAAGUGGUCUUUUUCUAUGAUUAUUUGCCACGAAAAUCACCUGCUGGAAUGUCAAACGUACCGUUCAAGAUGAAAUUUUUGAAUUUGAAACUCAUGGCCUCAUCUUCAUUGCAAGGCCUCCUCUUCCUCCACCGACCUUGAAGAACCCGUCUCUUUUUCGCCGAUUCUUGGAAUGUCGUUGUCCCUAGAUGCUCACGAAGACGAACGGGAGGCUAAAACAGGGAACUCUGUUUCUCCAUCGAGAAAAUGGAGCUUUGCUUAGAAGAAACAGAGCUCUUUCAGCGAGAGAGAGAGAGAGAGAGAGAGAAGCUUCCCCAAUUUUAAAUGAAGCGUUAUUGUGCAGUUCAUUUUGCCUAGCUAGAUGAAGAAUAUUUCACAUUAGACUUCAAUAUCUCUUAUAUUUUUUUUAAAAGAAAAAGAAAACAGGUGUGAGUCAAAGUUUAAUUUAGAAUGCCACAUAGGAUGAAUUGUUGGAAUUUAUUGUUGGAGUCGGAGACACUUAAGCGACCAUUUUUCCAUCGAUGUAGUACUCAAUUAAUUGCUCAAAAUAUUUUAGUAUUAAAGUGAGCACCAUAUGAAAAUUAUGAUAUUUUUAAUUAUUUUUUCAAGUUAAAAUAACGUGUGUUUGACAAUAAUAUUCAAAAACAAGAAAGUGCUUCAUGUGAGACCAAGGUUAUCUAAAAAGUUAAAAUUCAGUGGUAUCUCGUGAGCAUGGUUCAUGGAAUGCAAAGUGUGAAUUGAUCUGCACUAACAUUGUCUCAUUUGGGGAGACUUUGGGAGACUUCCAAGUCUUUAUAUUGAAUUGCUCUCCACUCAAGUUAUUUUCUUGUGGAUCGCCCUUCUUCCAUAUGUCACGGCAAACUCAAGCUCUCCACUUCCCAAGCAAGAAGAGGUCCUCUCUCUCUCUCUCUCUCUCUCUCUCUCUCUCUCUCUUCUUGCCACCAAAAUAGAGGCAGAUGCUCUUCAUCGCAGUGGGUGGUGGCCUCGCCACAUUACGAGCAACACUUCUAUGUCGCAUUGCACGUGGCUUGGCAUUUCAUGCAACGAUUCUGGAAACAUCGUUGAGAUAAACAUACCACGACUAGACGACGACAACUACUACUGGUUUACAGUUAAUUUGAGCAGCAUGAUUGAAUUGAUACGUGUAUGUAAGCUAGCUAAGAAUCUAAGAUGCCUUCAAUUGAGCACCCUCUCUACUUGACAAUUACCAGUUGUGAUGCUGAAACAGCACUCAUGUGACAGCGUUAAGCGCUAUCACUCGCAGUAUCCACACGUCGAAUGGAAGGAUCAAUUUAUAUCUAACUAGACCAUAUUGACUUCUUUUGUGAUGAUCUAUAACUGCAUCUCAAGUAAGACCAACUCACAAUUGCAGAACUUUCAUGCUAAAUAACGGUAAAGGUGCAAAUCGUACACAUUUGCUUCAUUAACGUAAUACAAGACUCAGUAUUUCCAGAAAUUACUGCUUUGACAAAUUACCGCAUUGACGCUUCCCGCGGAGAUGGUAAAACAAGGCCAGGUUGUCCAUAUUGCUAAUGCAUCUUUCCAACAGGAUACAUUUUGAAAAGGUUAUACCUAGCCAUCGAUCAAGCCUUCUUGGCUAUACAAUAAAGUAAUCUCCUGACAACUUAAACAGAAAGAAAUCCUCCAAUAACUUAUAACAAAGGGUGCAUGAGCCAAUGUCACUAGCUUCUAUGUUCACAUUACAUAAUACUGGUGUAACAACUUUCAUUGAAGUUAAGACAGAAUUAGAAUAAUUGUCACUAGGAUAUUAACAUUCCAGAAAGCAAAUGAAUAAAUUGUAAAACUUACCUCAUAGCAACGAAAGCAUCUGCGUUGUUAGAUCAGAAUUCACAUCGACAGCAUCUGCGUUGUUAGAUCAUAAUUCACAUUGAUGGUCCUAAAUAUAAUUUCUAAUUAACACGCAAUUUAUUUUUUGUUUUCACUUAUUUAAUGAGAAUCAUGCCAUGCAUGCUAUUAAUCUAACAUGAAACGACCUAAAUUAGGUCAUAAGAGUAAAGUAAUUUUUUUGUGUUUUCUUCUUGAAAUUCGAAAUUAAAGAAAUGUAAUAAUUAAAUGUGUAAUCUAAAUUAACCAAACGACCUAAUUCUAAUAACGAGCAGUUUCUAAUUAAAUUUCUAUAUGACGCGCACAUGAUUUUUAUUUUUCUAAAAAAUGCAACCUAUUCUAAUAUGCAAUGACGUGCAAAUAAUGUCAUAAUUCUAAUUUUUCUUUUUUCUUUUAUGAAAUUCGAAAUUAAAAUUGUCAAAUAAUUAAACAUGCAAUUCAAAUUUAAAACUAUCAUCCUAAAUGAAUGCAUUUUUUUAUUUUUCAUAAAAAUUCGAAAUAAAAUCCCUAUCCUAAAUAUGCAAUCUAUUUCAAAGAUAUCAUCUAACCUAGAUAUCGUCUAAACAUGCAUUUUAAAAAUAAUGACUAACUAACCUAUCAUGCAAUCAAUCCUAAUCUACAUGCAAUUUUUUUUUUUUUUUUGUAUUUUCGGGAUAAAUAGAACAAUUAAAAGAUAAACAUCAAACCAUCCAUAGUCAUCAAAAAUGCCAUCUACCAUUCAAAUUGAAAUUCAAACUUGAUUAUUUCGCUAAUAAAAUCGAUAAAUUGAUCUUAAGCCUUAAAUAUCAUAUAUCAAUUUUACUCACACGUGAAUUAUUCCAUCUAAAGCCUUAUAGAUAGAAUAAAAAUUUGUGCGGUUGCGAAUUGGAUGCUACAUCAGGGAAUUUCAAUCAUGCAUUGGAAAAUAAAUCAAACAAAGAGACAAAAUAUUCAAAAAAACUAAAACAAGAUAAAAUAAAUCUAGUAAAUCUACCUAAUAAAAUAAAAUAGAUCUAUACCUAAAUUUGCAUUUUUUCAAAAAAUCCAAUCGGUAGAAUGGACCAACAAUGGGCACGGCACGGCACAGCUCUAGGGCAACGGCCGUGGCGGUACCUCGGCAAGUUCAAUGGGAUAUCUUCUGGGACACCAAGAAAUCUGUGGAGUCGAAUUGAACAGGAAGCAACAACGUCGAUGCAGCAAGAUCAGCAGGUUUCGCCAAUGUCGGGCUGGACCGUGAGAUUCAGGCCCGAAGACCCGACGGAUGCUUCUACAAUAAUGAACAGAUGCUGGAGACGACGCUUCUUGAAACGCACUUGGACUGGCGUGGCCGAGCAACGGGAGCAGCACCUGGCGUGGCAGAUCAGCGGGAGCAACACCUGGCCUUUGAAGAUCCGAGCGUUUGCUGGAGAAGCUGGGCUCGCCAGGAACCUGCAGCAAAUCUGGGCUAAGGAACUUGCAGUCGAUCCUGCACGCUGCCCAGGCUGUCUUGAAUCACUCAGAGACCGCUGGCAGAAGCAAGAUUGCAGUGGGGGGACAGCGAAGCGCCUGGCGUGGCAGAGCAAUGGGAGCAGCACGACACCGGCACCGAGAAGGAGCUGCAGGCACGCGUAGGGAUCACCGACGUCGUGGAGCCUCUAUUGAACUACCACCAGCAAGAAGGCCGAGCUUUGUUCGAUAUCAAUUUUUCUCUCACGAUCCACCCUUUCUCUCGAUUCUCACGUGUGUCGCUCAAUUUUUUGUCGUGUACUUAAUUGUGCCUCUCCCCGAAACUCUACACAAACAACCUAUUUAUAGGCCACGGAUUAGGUUUUUUUAAAUUUUUUUUUUUUCAAACUGAUAUCGACGAAAAUUCUUUUUCCAAACACGAUAUUCAUUUCGCCGAACGCAAUAUUUGCUUUUCCACUUGCCCUAUCCGAAAAAAUUCCAUCAUAUUCCGGAAAAUUUCAAAUUCCUAUUUUCACAAGAUAAUUUCUAAUAAAUAAAAAAACGGGUUUAGGCCAAUUUGCUCGCUUCGUGGGCUUAGUCCAACCUACCAAAUCAAAGCUCAAAACCACUAAUUCGAAUACAUUCAUCACCGGUUCAAUAAAUAAAUGCAUAACAUGUAAAUUAAAAAUAAAUACACCUACAUCUAUAUGCUAUACAAUUAAUAUUUUUUCAAGGAUAAAAUUAACCAUUAAUUUUCUAUACAAUAAAUAAAUGAUCAGAUCUCCAAAAUUUAGGUGUCAACAAAGAGCAUUGAGAUUUGGUCCUAAUAAUCAAUUCUAAAUAACACACAAAGGAUAAUAUGCCCAUCCCUAUUUAAACAACAUAGGAGCAGAAAGGCCAGAUUGACCGUGACAUUAAAAACUCAAGCAUUAUAGGAAGAACGGGGACACAGGUCGAAGAACGUCACGCCUAACAAAGUUGACUUCUAAUGAUGCCGUAGAACUUCAUGCCAGCAAGAUAAUUUAUACUACCGUGAUAAAGAUUUUUGUUACUCAGUAUAACCCCAGAAAGACCCCAAAAAGCACCCAAAAAAAAAAAACAAAACAAAAGGAUCCUCUCAGAAGAACAUGUACCCUCUCAUUCAUCCAUUACCAUCUCAUAUUUAUGAAACAAGGUCUACAACUUCCAUGCUUAAAAAUCUGAUAACAAAAUAACAAUUCAAUGCACGAAGCAUAAGAAAAUUAAGAAAAGACAUCAUAGGAUCCAUGAAGCAGAAGUAACAGAGUUAAUUUUGGCUCAAACAAACAAGGAAUAAAAGAAAGGCAUGUCAAAAAUUAAUUAUGCAAUUGCUUGUUAAUUGUACAUCAAAUCACAAGGACAAUUUAUAAUUAAGGAGAAGAAGGAAGAAUGCCUUUGCAACUUCCAGAUACUUCCACCCUUACCUUAUUUAUACUCUCCAGGUCAACGCCCCUACGAAUCAUUCUGUCCCGACGUUUAGCAGCAAUCAAUUCUUUGCGAUGUUUCUUCUUUUCACCUGUGCAUCAAUUGCGUUUGAAUUUUACCAAAAGAGCAAAAAACUAAAGAAACAUUAUCCUAUGAAGAGCCUUCAGACAAUCUAAAUUGUUCUUCAUUCCCCAAGUAGGGAAAAUUGUCUAAAAAGUCCUAAACCUAUUGCAAUUUUGCCAAUUCAGCCAUAAACAUUUCAAUCUUGCCGAUUGAAUCAUAAACAUUUUAUCAAUUUGCCAAUUGAGUCCAUCCGGCCAAUUUUAGCCGGAAAAUGCUGACAUGGACGCCGGCGGUGCUACGUAGGACUGUCGGCACUGACGUUGACAAUUUUUAAUAAUAUUUUAAUAAUUUAAAUAUUUUUUGAUUUUUUUAAAUAUUUUCUAUUUUUUCCCUUUUUUUUUUUUUUUUUAUCUUUUUCUUUUUGGCUUUUCCCUUGCCCUUUUCCGGUGGCCGGCCACCGGCCACAGGCCACAGGUGAGGCCCAGCCGGGCAACAGUGACUCCGGGCGAGGCUAGCCCUGGCCUCGGCGAGGGCCGGCCUCACUAGAUCUGGCGAGGGGAGCCCUUGGCGAGGCGAGCGUCGGCCUCGCCCAGACCAGAUCUGGCGAGGCCGGCCGGGCGUCGGCCUAUGGCCGGUGGCCAGCCGUCACCCGCCCCGGCCAGGGGCGAGGCUGACGCUCGCCUGGGCGAGGGCGAGCCUCGACGAGGACUCCCCUCGCCAGAUCUAGCGAGGCCGACCCUUGCCAGGGCCAGGGCUGGGCUCCCCCGGCAUCGCCCUCGCCCGGCCGGGCCUCGCCUGUGGCGGGCAAGGCCAGCCGUCGCUUGUGGCCAGUGGCCGGCCAUCGGAAAAGGGCAAGGAAAAAGCCAAAAAUAAAAAUAAAAAAAAAAGAAGAAGGAAAAAACAGAAAAUUUUUAAAAAAUAAAAAAUAUAUAUUAAAAUAUUAUUAAAAAUUGUUCACAUCAGCGCCGGCAGUCUUACAUGGCACCGCCCGCAUCCACGUCAGCAUUUUCCAAUCAAAAUUGGCCGGAUUAACUCAAUUGGCAAACUGACAAAAGGUUUAGAACUCAAUCGGCAAGAUUGAAAGGUUUAUGACUGAAUUGACAAAAGUGUAAUAGAUUUAGGACUUUUUUGACAAUUCUCCUCACUUAGGGGAGACAAUAAUUGCUCAUUUUUUCCCAAGACACAGAAAGGAAGCUCCAUAAAUUAAUAAGUAAACAGUAAACUUCUGAAAGAGAGGUCCUUGUGUGCCUCGAACGUGUUUCUUCCUCAGGAGAUCAAAAACAUAGAGACCCAUCCAAUCGUGUCAUCCAAACGCACCGAUCUCCUUAAUUCUCCAUUUUAGUAAUUAAUACUUGAGACUUAACUACUAGUUCAUAGAUCAAAAUAAAAAGCCAAGAUUCAAUAUUAAUUGAUUGAUAUUUCGAUUUACUUUCCAAUCCCAAUUUAUACCACUAAACUAGUUUUCCAUUGAGCAUGACUUUAUCAUUCCCCCGCGGGGCGGGGCGGGGCGGGGAGGGAGAGAGAGUUAAGUUAGAUUAAUGCAUAUACAAAGUUUACCAGGAAAUCUCUCGAUCUUGUACUCUUCUGAGACCCCAAUGACUGAGAUUGAGGCACUCUUGUACCACGAUUCUUCUUGGCUGAAGGAGUCCUCACAUCUUUUACCAAGAUAAAAUCAUCCACAGCUGAUGACCAAUUAUCUCUCACAUUCCCAAGACCUUGAUGUUUUGAUUGAUGCUUCCUCUGCAUACCAUACUCCGUGGAAGCAUCCUAGAGAGCAAUUCCACACAAUUUUUUCAUCGUUUCAUCCAAAUCACUACUAGAAGAAUCGUCUGAAUCAUCUGACGAAGAAGAAACCUACUGUAACAAAAUUUUUGCAUCUAAAAGAGAAUCGCUCCCACCAAUUCCUUUCAAAUAAUCUUAAGCAAUUUCAUCAUCGACAUCUGAACCACUAUCAGACAUGUCCUCGGAGUCAUCACUUUCAGAAGAAUCUGUUGCUCCAUCCUGCUCAACCGACUCCGACUCCGAGUCUUCCUCAUCACCAUAUUCCGCAACAUCAUCCUCACUAUCUUCCUCAUCGUUUCUCCUCAAAUUCGAUCUCCUCUUGCCUCCAGCCAUGUCCGAGCUCGCGAAUCAACUUCGAUUGUCGGACCAAAAAAAAAAAAAAGAAAUCAACUUGGAUUGAAUUUUCUGACCAAAUUGAUCGAUCGAUUGAGAUCGAUUUGGGGGCGAUGACGAGAGAAAGGGAUCACCUCCUCCCGCGUGUGGUUUCCUUGCCUUGGGGGAAGCGGUCGCAUCUGGACCGUUGGAGAUUCACCAUGGGUCGCAAGGGGACUCGUGGAUGGCUGUGAUGCGGCGGCGGGAGCUUGGGGAUGUCAUAUUCCGCUACGGAAACGGCUGUGGCGGGGGCUCUUUCUCUUUGGGAAUAUGCGAGAAUCGAUACCAUCGGCCAAUCGGCAUGGCCUUUUGGGAUUAUCGUGGACAACUAGUCUAGCUAGGCGGAGUUCGAUCUUGAUACAACACUAAUAUAAUUGGACAACUUCACUGGUUGCUUUAUAUAAGUUUGUUGUGUUUGGAAGGCUGAAGAUGUCCUUGGGGACAAUCCUUGAUCAGCGCAUCAUGAUGGAAAAUCAUAAGAAAAAUUCGAGUCCUCACAGUAGCAAAUUACAUUAUUAAUUUGGUUUGCUCUCCAAUUUGCAUUAGCCUCAUAGACUAUAUGUGCAAUGGAAGAUUCAGUGUGGAAGAGAAAUUGUUUCGAGAAGGUGAACGAGGGACUGUAUUUUUUGUUGGCAAUUUGGUUGCAAUUUGGCAAUUUGGCUUACUUUCCAUGUGUGCAGAUCGCGUGACUUUUGAGGUCAAAGGCCACAGGUAUUCGUGCUGCCUUUGAGCUUGUGGCCAUGGCCUUGAGUGCGACGUUCAAGCUCUAAUAGUUAACAUUGGUGUGGUGGAGGAUAAAGGGAUGGGGGAGAAAAAUGUGGUGGGAGCGGGGGAGUUGGUUCUCUCUUUUUCUUUGGGUCUAAGGGUUUGUUUGUCGUUUUAACUGGGGCCUUUCUCUUAAAAUGCAUAUUGUGCAUUUUCAAAAGUGGGGAUGGUUUUUCCAAGAUUCUCUAUAUUUUUUCCUCCUUUCUUUUUUUGUGGAAAAAAUGCCAUGAUACCUUACUUAUAUGUUAUUUGAUAUAAUAAUUCUCUUUUACACGUUAAACUUGCUUCUACAUAUUUCAGGUAAUCUAUAAGGUCGAUGUUAUAUGAUGUGUAACUUUAUCACAAUCCCUCCUCUGGAGCUAAGCUCCUAGCAUAAUGUUAGAAUGUCAUUUUGCGUAGAUAAGACUAGCAAAAGUAGUCAUGAAAAUGCAAAUUUGACCGUCAAUUUAACUAUCCCAUGAGACACUCCAGCAUAAGUGAACUUUUAUUAAAGUUAGAAAUCGAUAAAAGUUAGAAAUCGAUAACCUAACCAAAUUGCGGGUGAGCCAUUAACCUAUGACUCUGAUGGACAUUUAGUCCUUCAUGUUAUAUUGUCAAGCAAGAGGAGUUUUAUGUCUCAAAUGAUUUCCAAUUGGACCGAGUGAUAUACAGAGAUGAAAAUUUUCAUUCGAAAAUGAAAGCAAAUGUGCUAUGGCAAAAAUAACAAAGGUGAGAAGAGACAGCUAUGAUUUUCUAGUAUCGUUAAUUAUCAAUAGUAGCAUGAUCACCUAACCAAAUAGAGAUAAGCUAGCAACUACAUAAAAAUCACCUUUUUGAAAGAGCGAAGGAUCACGCCAUGUAUGUCUUCAAGGAAAUUAGAACAAGACCUUAUUCAACUGUGAAGGUGAAAACUUACAUUAACGUAAUGUCGAUCAAUGACAAUAACAAAUAACAGGAAAAAAACCCAAUCCUGCCAUUACCUGGAAAUGCAUAAUGAGAGAACCUAAAUUGUUUGGCCACUGGACAAUUUUCGAAAACCAUCUUGCACAAGAUAGUAGAAUGUGAUGAACAAGCUCUGACAUGUGGUGAUAAUCAGUUCCACAUAAUGAAACCAUCCCUGUUGCCAGUGGGGGUUGAUGAACAGAACAAUCGGAAUUACUAGUAAAACCGUUGUGUAUGACACUCCGAAGCUGAUAUAGAAUGUCUCUCCAUCUAUGAAACCAUCUUCUUUAGCUUUCUUGUGUGAUUUUGUUGCUGAGCAAUUAACAUUAAUGGUUGUCGAACAGUCAUUACUCAAUGGUAGACCACAUAGAAGAUGGUUUCCGUAGUAACUGCUUUCAUCGAAUGACCCAAAUUGAUUUUUGUUUGGUAUGGCUCCUGACAAGUCGUUGUAAGACACAUUGAAGACUCCCAAAAAAUUUAACCGAGUGAGCUCUUCAGGGAUAGAACCAAUCAAGUUGUUGUAGGAAAGGUCAAUGCUCUCUAUCUGUGUGAGGUUUGACAAUGACAUUGGUAUAUGUCCUGUAAGCUUGUUGUGCGACAGAUUCAACACAACUAUGUCUUGUGAGAAUGCAAUCUCUGGUGGGAUCUCCCCGCUAAAUUGGUUGCAAGAAAAAUCUAGUCCUACCAUGUUAAGGAGUGCGUAGCCUUUAUAAGCAUCAAAUCUUCUUUUUACUGUGAACCCAACAAUAUGUGGAAUUUGCCAUGCUUCAUCUCCCAUAAAUUUAUAGUGGUAGAACUCCUUAUUAAAGGACCAGUGGCUUCUAAUUGUCCUCACAUUAGACAAAGGUGACAAUUUGUAACGUCUCUCUUCGAAACGCGGUAUUAAAUCUACCUUAUCAGGAUAUCCUGUAGAGGAGAAAUUUAUGGGUCCCAAGCAAAUAGGUAAUGGACCAAACAGAUUGUUUUCAAAAAGAUCGAUCAUACUUAAGCUUUUUAUUUUGCACAAUUUCUUGGGAAAUGUUCAGUAGAAGCUAUUACCUCUCAGUAAAAGAUGCUUAAUUGAGAGAGGUUACCUAGCCAAUAGGGUAUGCUUCCCAAGAACUCAUUUUCACUCAAAUCCAAGGUCACCAAAUUGGAGCUGUUGGGGAGCAAAUGCAUGAUUAAACCAUUCAAUUUGUUCCCAUUCAGAUGGAUAUGUCUCAACUUCGGUGUUAUGAAAGAUGAUGGUAAUGAAUCAGAGAGAUUGUUGUCAGACAAAGCCAAAUACUCGAGGUCAGGAAGAUUAAAGAGUCCUUGAGGGAUGAGGCCAUUUAGCUUAUUUUUGGAAAAGUCAAGGAGCCUAAGCCUUGACAUGUUUGCAAUCACUCUGGGAAGCUUACCAAUGAAAAAGUUGUUGCUAACGUCCAAUUGGAACGGAUAUACGAGUGAUGAAAGAAAAGAGAGAUCUCCAGUGAACAUGUUGUUCUCUAAGUGUAGGCAUAACCAAUUUAGGUUCUUGGUGUCAUCGGAAAACACAAUUUCUCCUUGCAAGUUGUUAUAUGCUACGUUGAGUUUAUACAAUGAUGAGUUGCUAUCUAGUAACUGGAUAGGUAGUCUCCCGGAGAAAUUGUUGUGGGAAAGGUCUAAGGAAUUUAGGGAUUUUAUACUACCUAGUCUAGAUGGAAUAUUCCCUUCCAAUCUGUUGGCUGAUAUAUUAAGGUGGGACAAAUUUGGGAAAUUUAAACAAAAUUCGGUUGUGAGCUCUCCUCUCAUGCCGUUGUUGGACAUGUCCAUCACCGAAAGAUUACGAAGGGUCAUUAGUGGAACCUCAAGUGUCACAAAUGAGUUAUUUGCCAUAAGAAUGUUUUCCAACUUAGUGUUGUUUUCCAACAACCAAGCUGGAAAGGGACCCGCAAUGUCAUUCGAGGAGAGAUCAAUGGUUCUCAGGUCAUAUUGAUGAUUGAGAAAGCCAAGAGAAGUUACUUUGAAUCCUUUCGAUAGACUAUUUGACAUACUAAAGUCCUUCAAUUGGAACCUCAAGAUCGAAGACGCAACUUUGGAAUCAAUUGUUAGUUUGUUGUCAUCAAGCAAGAGGACCUUAAGUCUUGAAUAGUUUGCAAGUGGGCUGAGUGACGAGGGGAUAUCAAAAUAAUUACCCGAAAUGGACAGCAAUUCGAGUGAGGUAAGACUAGUGAGGGGAGAUGAGGCGACAUUAUCUGUGAAUUCAUUGUCUUCAAGAAAUAGAACCCGAAUAGAUGUCAUGUUUCGCCAACAUGUAGGAAGCCCGCCAGUAAUUCCAUUAUUGCUAAGAUCCAGCUCUUCUAGUUUUACGAGGUUACACAAGCCUGUUAUUGAUAUCACAAGUCAAUUCAAUUACAAUGGUAGACAUCGGAAUGUAUAACAAGGGUAUAACAAGGACAUACACGCACAUGAAGGAUUCAUUUUAUGUCCCAAUUUUACUCUGAGAGGUUAGGACUUACUCUGACCUGAUAGUUUGCCAUUAAGACCGGUGCUGUAUGAGGACAGCAACCUAAGAGAUGUCAAAGGACCAAGGCUGGAAAGGAUGCCCAUGGUGGUGUUCAACGAAGAAUAAUCCAAGAUGAGCUGUUCCAACUUACUGAAGUUAUGGAAAUCUUCCCAGAAAACAAAAGAUUAUUGAACAUCAGAUUUCCUUGCACAUACAUAAUCAAGAAAUGGCAUAGAAAUAUCAUGAGUGAAUGGAAUAUUUUAAUAAAAACUUAGGCUCUGUUGGUUCGCGGAAAAUAUGACAUUUCCGGAAAAUGUUUUCCAAGGAGUAAUUUUUUUAGAAAAAUGACAAUAUUUUCUGAUUGUAGGUUGAAAUCUGAAAAUGAACUAGAAAAUAUUUUCCAUCGUUUGGUAUGGAAAAUCUAAUUUGAUUUUCAUCUGUGUACUCCUUCCAAUAAUAUUUUAUUUUUAUUCUAAAAAAAGAAUUUUUAAUUAUUAUUUUUUCUUUUUUCUUUUUUCCUUCUUGUUCAGUUGAUCACCAGACACAGGUGACGUCAAGAUUGCUCAAGACAAACGAGCUUGAGCCUUGUUAGAUUGGCGAAGCCUCGGCCUUUAGCAAGCUUGUCCUUCACCUGUGAUCAGUCGCUGGUAGUCGUCAUAGUUGGCGAUCGAAUGAGGAAGAAGGAAAAGUAAUAAGAAGGAAAAAAGAAAGAAAGAAAUUAAAUAUUUGAUUUAUUAAAAAUGAAAACAAGAAAAAAAUAAUUAAAAAGAGUGCAUGGAGGAAAAUAGGUUUAGGUGAAAGAAAGAGAAUGGAAAAAUGAUUUCCUCAUUUUCCCCACUUUUGAAAAUGCGUUUUCCAUUGUAGGAAAAUAUUUUCCUUCACUUAAUUAUUUUCCGUAACCUAAAUGCUAGAAAAUCUGAAAAACAUUCUCUUAAAAAUUGUCUUCCGCAAAACGAACGGAGCGUUAUCAUGAGCAUACAUUUAUUAAUGGGUUUGACUAACCUUGAGUAGUAAUAGUUCCUUCUAUUGUAUUAUACUGGAGAGAAAGGAUCUUGAGGGAUGACAAUGCCCCUAAUGCUCGCACGACGGUCCCCACAUCCUUCAAGUGGACACCAUCUAGGUAGAGGUUCUCUAAGUGGCUCAAGUUUUUGAUGCCUACCAAUAAAAUUCCAAGAAAAUAACUUGCUUGGCAAUAAAGUUGUGAAAGCACCCACGCGGAUGCUUUGCGACAGGAAUCUUUUGAAUUAGGCAACAUUUCUAUAUGGAAAGAGAAGGGGGUCCCAAUUUAUGACUUCUAUAUUCUCAAUAUGAUGCACAUGUAAAGCUAUAAGAGAUACUGCAUGAAAACUGAAACAAUACCUUCAACAAUUGCUGCUAUAAUGACUGCAUUACAACUUAUGUCUAGCUCCUUCAAAUUAUUGAAACAGCCUAAUUUAUCCAUGAACCUUGCUAACUCAAGUCAAACAUGGUGAUUUUGUCCCGAAUUAUGAACAGAGAAUAAGUUGGAGAAACUAUCAUUCACAUUUAAAGUCUCAUUCAAAUGUUGUUUUGGAGAAUAGACACAUGAGAGUCAUAAUUGUACCACAAAUAGGUAGAAUAGAAUUAUCCAAAGAAAAUAAUGAAAACACCCACGCGGAUGUCUGGGAAUAGGAAUCUUUUGAAUCAGCAACAUUUCUAUAUGGAAAGAGAAGAGAUGACUUCUAUAGUCUUAAUAUGAAUCACAUGUAAAGGUAUUAAAGAGCAUGCAUGAAUCGUAGUCUAGUUAGUUUAAUUUAUGAAUACAAACGAGGAUUCUACAUGAAAAUUGAAACAAUACCUUCAGUAAUAGCUGCUACAUCAACUGGAUUAUCACUUAUGUCCAGCUCCUUUAAAUUACUGAAACCACCUAAUUUAUCCACAAGCAUUGCUAACUCAAGUCAAGGAUGGUGAUUUUGUAUAAAAUUAUGAAUAGAGAAUAAGAUGGAGAAACUAUCAUUCACAUGUGAAGUCCCAUUCAAAUGUUGUUUUGAAGCAUAGACACCUAAGAGUCGGAAUUGUACUGUGAACGGGUAAAAUAGAAUUAUCUAGAGUAAAUAAUGAAGCACCCACACAUAUACCUUGGGAUAGGAAUCUUUUGAAUUAGUAACAUUUCUAUAUGGAAAGAGAAAGGGUUUGCAAUAUAUGACUUCUUUAUUCUUAAUAUGAAGCACACAUAUAGGUAUUAAAGAGCCCGCCUACAUGACUGACAAGCUAGUUAGUUUAAUUUACGAAUAAAAAUGAGGUUCCUACAUGAAAACUAAAACAGUACCUUCAGCAAUAGCCACUACAUCAACUGCGUUAUCACUUAUGUCCAGCUCCAUUAAAUUGCUAAAACCACCUAAUUUUUCCACAAACAAUGUUAACUCAUGUCAAGGAUGGCGACUUUGUACUGAAUUAUAAGCAGAGAAUAAGUCGGAGAAAUUUACCAUUCACAUGUAAAGUCCCGCUCAAAUUAUUGUAUAUGAGGAAUAGAUGCCGGAGAGAUGGAAUUGUACUAAGAAUGGAUAGAAUAGAAUGAUCCAGAAAGUUAUCGCUCAAGUCAAGCACCUCUAGUUUGCUUAGCCUUGAAGAUAGCAAGUUUGGUUCUACAAACAAACAAUAAAAAACAGUAAAAGCUGCAGAAAUCUAUUCAAGAACACGUGCAACAAAUAGAUAUUGCCAUUUCAAGGGGAAAUAUGUCAUAGACUUGUGAAUAAAUGAUGACGUGGACAUAAUCAUCUAUGAUGCAGGAAGUGAGUAAGAACCUAAACGUGAUUAACUUAUGAGUUCAUUAGAUAAUGAGUAUCUCUUUUUUAUAGGAAAUGGACGAACGGUGAAUUUAUACCUUCUGGUGCAAUCCACCCUCCUAAAUAGUUGGAGGACAAGUUAAGGCUCUUGAGUUCUUCAAAGGGAAUAAGUAGAGAAGCGUUUAGAUACCAAANNNNNNNNNNNNNNNNNNNNNNNNNNNNNNNNNNNNNNNNNNNNNNNNNNNNNNNNNNNNNNNNNNNNNNNNNNNNNNNNNNNNNNNNNNNNNNNNNNNNAGCUGAGCGACUCGUCCUGUGGUGGGGUUGCACUCAACACCUUGCCAGUUGCAACAAUUGAAAUAUGAUCCCCCGGCGUCCACCCCAUAUGGCAAGUUCAAUGUGGCAUUGAGCGCUAAGAGGGCAACCCUUUCUUGCUCCCGACACCCAUGAGAGCCACAUAAACAUGCAAUACCCCAAACCACCACAAACACCCACAGUGCUUCCUUUUUCAUGACUGCAGAUUCGAGUGACCAAACUUUAUAUGAAUUGCACUUUGGAGAUAACAUCCUUUUUGCAAGUUAGAGAAAUUUUAUAGGAGUUCAACGGCGCCUGUGCUUGAGUGUGAAACUUGUGGUCAUGGCCAAAGUCUUGGUCAUAAUUUUUCCACGCGCUUUCUUUUGUACAACCAAUAAGAAAAUCCCAAGUAGGUGUUUAAAGUCCACCGAAAAUUUGACUGCAAGAGUUCAUUGUACUUGCUAUUGGGGCCCUUGGCAGUUGUCAACAAAAAAAAUUUCUCCAUCAAUGUUUAACGAGGCGGAGUCUACAUGCCCAAACCUCCCAAAUUGAGCUUGUAUCUUUUUCUUACCUAACGUUUGAGCAAUAUCGUCUCAAAUCUUUUACAUUGAAGGUCUAGAUGUAAUUGUGAAUAUAUCCAACCAAAUGAAAGAAACUCUCAAAUAUAAACGUCAUUCACAAAAAGAUUUUUUGGAUUUCUUUCUUAUCCAAUUUGGGUUCAUCGAGUUAGGUUCACUUGGAAAAUGCCCUCCAUUAAUGCGAGAUCAAUGCAUAUGAGCCAUUAGAUCUUGUGCAUCUCACAUUGUCUCAUAAAAUUCACCGGUGAAAAUGCAUCAGGCUCACAUAAUUGUAGCUCUUCGGGAUUGUUGUAAUUGAUUGGAGCGCUUAGCGAUUUCUAGCUCGAGAAGUUGGGAAUCACCCAUUGAUCCCACUAUUUUCAUGCAAACUGGCCUUCUACACCAAUCAACUUUUUUGUAUUUAAUCAGUCUAUUGGACUUGCAGGGCAUUUCGAAAAACUUUCAGAUAACCCAGUCUUCACGGUCCGAGCCAUCAAGUAUAAAACAAAAGGCGUUAGUGCGGGAUUUCUGCCCACUCCAAAAACAAUUGUUCGGAGAGUGUACGGGUCAAAUGUGGUGAACUCGUGCGUGUCUACCCGGAAUUCCAUUACGCGCCUAAUCCCUCUUCCCGAAAGUGGAAGACCCCCCCGCCCCUUGCUUGGGUGGUGGGGCCCCCCACGAUUGUAAAAAUAAAAAGUCUCGCGAGUGCGAGGGAGGGGAAGAAGAAGGGGUAGGGUUGCUGUGAGUUUGACGCGUGUACAGUCGCGCGUGGGGGCCCCACCCGGGUGGGGUGAGGGUCCCGCCUCCCCAGCAAAAAGUCCAAAUCCCUUAUUUAUUGCGCGACUUCUGUAGAGAGGGAGGACCAUGGCGGAGGAGGUGUGAUGAGAUGGAAACUGGGGUUCCGAUUUGGAUUUUAGCAAUUCUCAAAUUCAAGAAAAGCUCGCUCUCCUUAGUUUCUUCAUCAAUUUUAAUGAACAAAGUUCAUUUCGGACGUCUCCGAAAAGACGCCCUUUUACGUAUUUUAAAUAAAUGACGCGAAGGUAUUUUUUAAUCCAAUUUUUCAAAAAAAAAAAGAGUAAGGGGAAAUUGAAAAGCACAUUAGGCUAGGCGUGCAAUUUCGAUAUUUUUGUCACGUAUUAAAUAUUUUAUAGUACUUCCUUUAUCUCCUAAAGAGUACUUAAAGUGCAGAUAAAGCGACCAUUGCAAGACCCGUGCCUUUCGGGGGCAGACGACUUUGGAUUUUACACCAUCAUCUGUCAAGAGAAGAACUUUGAUGUUUUGAUUGACGCUUCCUCUGCAUACCAUACUCCGUGGAAGCAUCCUGGAGAGAAAUUCCACCCAAUUUUUUCAUUGUUUCAUCCAAAUCACAACUAGAAGAAUCGUCUGAAUCAUCUGACGAAGAAGAAACCUGCUGUAACAAAUUUUUAGCAUCUAAAAGGGAAUCGCUCCCACCGAUUCCUUCCAAAUAAUCUUGAGCAAUUUCAUCAUCAACAUCUGAACCACUAUCAGACAUGUCCUCAGAGUCAUCACAUUCAAAAGAAUCUGUCGCUCCAUCCUGCUCAGCCGACUCCGACUCUGAGUCUUCCUCAUCACCAUAUGCUGCAACAUCAUCCUCACCAUCUUCCUCAUUGGAUAUAUCUUCCGUAUAUAUUUUCAAUCCCCCAAUUGAUACAAACCCAGAAUUUUUCUUCGCGGAUGUAUCCUUUGACAAAAGCUGAGCCCCCUUUUCAGCUGCUCCAGAGUCAAAGCUCUCACGAUAAUCCACUUCCUGCUCAGGCGAUGAAAUGCAACUCUGUGACUCUCCUUGAUUUUCCAUUUUCCCUGAUGAUGCUUCGAUUCCCAUUGGAGCUGCAUCGUAUUCAUUACAAUCACCCAAUCCUCUGUGUGAGCUAUCACUAAGAACAAAAUCUGAGUGAUACUCAUAACUGAUAUUUGCUUGAUCCACUGACGAUGGCCCUUCAUCUACAUAAGCAACAAUUUGGCUGUCCUUCGAACCACGCAGAAUGAAAGGCUGAGAAAAUUCCAUUUUAUUCUCUCCAUUUGUAUCUCCGAACGUCGAUACUGGAUGAACACAAGUGAGAGACUGAGAUCAGCUGAUCCGCCGCCGCCGCUGUUUAUUCUCGAAUUCGAUCUCCUCUUGCCUUGGGGGAAGUGGUCGCAUCUGGACCGUUGGUGAUUCGCCGUGGGACGCAAGGGGACUCGUGGACGGCUGUGAUGUGGCGGCCGGAGCUUGGGGUUAGCUGAGUCGAUUUGCCUUCUUGAGUUCCUAAACCCCCAUUUUUCUUUAACAAAGUCUUUUGGUACUUAGACAUUAAUUAAAGAAGAUAAGAUGAGAGAAUGAUCAUUGAAUUUUUGCUUAUCCAAUAUGAUUUAUUCGCUGAUACAUGAAAGAUCUCUAAGUAGAAACAGUUUCUUUAUUAGUGGAAUGAAGUUGGAUUGCACGGAAACUAGCUUUCCUAGAUGCUCAUUUCUUUUUAUUGGAGAUACCACACCGUUAUAAUUGCAGGGAAACUAGCUUUCCUAGAUGCUCAUUUCUUUUCACCGGUUGCUUUAUAUAACUUUGUCAUGUUUGGGAGGCUGAAGAUGUCCUUGGGACAAUCCUCGCUUUACAUUUUGAAGAUAAGCGCAUCAUGAUGCAAAAUCAUAAAAAAAAAUUCGAGUUCUCACAGCAGCAAAUUACACUUUUAAUUUGGUUUGCUCUCCAAUUUGCAUUAGCCUCACAAACUAGAUGUGCAGCAUAAGAUUCAGUGUGGAAGAGAGAUUGUUUCGAGAAGGUGAACGAGGGAUUAUAUUUUUUGUUGGCAAUUUGGUUGCAAUUUAGCUACCUACUUUGGUAAUUUGGCUUACUCUCCAUGUCAGUAGAUCGCGUGACUUUUGAGGUGAAAGGCCACAGGCACUCGUGCUGCCCUUGAGCUUGUGGCCAUGACCUUGAGUGCAAUGUUCAAGCUCUAACAGUUAACAUCGGUGUGGUGGAAGAUAGAGGGAUGAGGGAGAAAAAUGUGGUGGGGAUGGGGGGUUGUUUCUCUCUUUUUCUUUGGGUCAAAGGAUUUGUUUGUCUUUUCAACUGGGGUCUUUCUCUCAAAAUGCAUAUUCUGCAUUCUCAAAAGCGGGGACGGUUUUUCCAAGGUUCUCUAAAUUUGUUUCCUCUCUUUCUUUUUCUUUUUUUGGUGAAAACAUGGGCAUGAUACCUUACUUAUACGUUAUUUGAUAUAAUAAUUAUCUUUUGCAUGUUAAACUUGCUUCUACAUAUUUCAAGUAAUCUAUAAGGUCGAUGUUAUAUGAUGUGUAGCUUUAUCACAAUCCCUCCUCUAGAGCUAAGCUCCUAGCAUAAUGUUAGAAUGUCAUUCCGUGCAGAUAGGAUAGCAAAAGUAGUCAUGAAAAUGCAAGUUUGAUCGUGAAUUUAACUAUCCCAUGAGACACUCCAGCAUAAGUGAACCCUCAUUAAUGUUGGAAAUCGAUGUCCUAACUAAAUUGUGGAUGAGCCAUUAACCUAUGACUUUGAUGAACAUGUAGUCCUUCAUGUUAUAUCGUCAAGCAAGAGGAGUUUUAUGUCUCAAAUGAUUUCCAAAUGGACCGAGUGAUAUACAGAGAUGAAAAUUUUCAUUUGGAAAUGAAAGCAAAUGUGCUAUGGAAAAAAUAACAAAGGUGAGAAGAGACAGCUGUGUUUUUCUAGUAUCGUUUAUUAUCACUAGUAGCGUGAUCACCUAACCAAAUAGAGAUGAGCUAGCAACUACAUAAAAACCACCUUCUCGAAAGAGCGAAGGAUCACGCCAUGUAUUGUCUUCAAGGAAACUAGAACAAGACCUUAUUAAGUUGUGAAGGUGAAAACUUACAUUAAUGUAAUGCUAAUCAAUGACAAUAACAAAUAACAGGAAAAAAAAAAACCCAAUCCUACCAUUACCCGGAAAUGCAGAAUGAGAGAACCUAAAUUGUUCGGCCACUAAACAAUUUUCAAAAACCAUCCUGCACGAAAUAGUAGCAUGUGAUGAACAAGCUCUUACAUGUGGUGAUAACCAGUUCCACAUAAUAAAACCAUCCCUGCCGCCAUUGGGGGUUGAUGAACAGAACAACUGGAAUUACUAGUAAAACCGUCGUGUAUGACACUCCGAAGCUGAUAUAAAAUGUCUCUCCAUCUAUGAAACCAUCUUCUUUAGCUUUCCCGCAUGAUUUUGUUGCUGAGCAAUUUACGUUAAUGGUUGUUGAACAGUCAUUACUCAACGGCAGUCCACAUAGAAGAUGGUUUCCGUAGUAACUGCUUUCAUCGAAUGACCCAAACUGAUUUUUGUUUGGUAUGGCUCCUGACAAGUCGUUGUAAGACACAUUGAAGACUCCCAGAAAAUUCAACUGAGUAAGCUCUUCAGGGAUAGAACCAAUUAAGUUGUUGUAGGAAAGGUCAAUGCUCUCUAUCUUUGUGAGGUUCGACAAUGACAUCGGUAUGUGUCCUAUAAGCUUGUUGUGCGACAAAUUCAGCACAAGCAUGUCCUGUGAGAUUGCAAUAUCUGGUGGGAUCUCCCCACUGAAAUGGUUGCAAGAAAAAUCUAGUCCUACCAUGUUAAGGAGUGCAUAGCCUUUAUAAGCAUCAAACCUUCUUUUUGUUGUGAACUCAACAAUAUGUAGAAAUUGCCAUUCUUGUUCUACCAGUGAUUUAUAGUGGUAGAACUCGAUCUGGCUUCUAAUUGACCUCACAUAAGACCAAAGUGACAAUUCUUCAACUCCAGCUCCGAAAAACCCAAGCGGUAAUGAAGUUACCUUAUUGGCAUAUCCUCCAGAGGAGAAAUUCAUGGGUCCCAAGCAACUAGGGUAAUGGACCAAACAUAUUGUUUUCAGAAAGAUCGAUCAUACUUAAGCUUUUCAAUCUGCACAAUUGCUCGGGGAAAUGUUUCCAUAGAAGCUAUUACCUCUCAGUGAAAGAAUGCUUAAUUGAGAGAGGGUACCUAGCCAAUAGGGUAUGCUUCCGAAGAACUCAUUUUCACUCAAAUCCAAGGUCACCAAAUUGGAGCUGUUAGAGAGCACAUGCAUGAUUGAACCAUUCAAUUUGUUCCCAUUAAGAUGGAUGUGACUCAACGCGGGUGCUAUGAAAGAUGAUGCUAAUAAACCGGAGAGAUUGUUGUCAGACAAAGCCAAAUACUUGAGCUGACUAAGAUUAAAGAGUUCUUGAGGGAUGAGGCCAUUUAACUGAUUUUGGGACAAGUCAAGGAACACAAGCAAUGAUGUGUUCGCAAUCAAUCUGGGAAGCUUGCCAAUGAAAAAGUUGUUGCUACCGUCCAAUAACAACAAAUUUAAGAGUGAUGAAAGAAAAGAGAGAUCUCCAGUGAACAUGUUGUGCUCUAACUGUAGACAUAGGAAAUUUAGGUUCACAGUGUUAUUAGAAAACACGAUUUCUCCGUGCAAGUUGUUAUAUGCUACGUUGAGGUUAUGCAAUGAUGAGCUGUUAUCUAGUAACUUGAUAGGCAGUCCCCCAGAGAAAUUGUUGUGAGAAAGGUCCAAGAAAAAUAGGGAUUUUAUACUAGCCAAUUCAUAUGGAAUAUUCCCUUCCAAUCUGUUGGUUGAUAGAUUAAGGUGGUACAUAUUUGGGAUGUUUAAACAAAAUUUGGUUGUGAGCUCUCCUCCCAUGCCGUUGUUGGAUAUGUCCAUCAUCAAAAGAUUAUGAAGGGUCAUCAGUGGAACCUCAAGUGUCGCAAAUAAGUUAUUUGCCAUAAAAAGCUUUUCCAACUUAGUGUUGUUUUCCAACAACCAAGCUGGAAAAGGACCCAGAAUGUCAUUCGAGGAGAGAUCAAUGGUUCUCAGGUCAUAUUGAUGAUUGAGAAAGCCAAGAGAAGUCACUUUGAAGCCUUUCGAUAGACUAUUUGACAUACUAAAAACCUUCAAUUGGAGCCUCGGGAUCGAAGACGCAACUUUGGAAUCAAUUGUUAGUUUAUUGUCAUCAAGCAAGAGGACCUUAAGUCUUGAAUAGUUUGCAAGUGGGCCGAGUGACGAGGGGAUAUCAAAAUAAUUACCCGAAAUGGAAAGCAAUUCGAGUGAGGUAAGACUAGUGAGGGGAGAUGAGGCGACAUUAUCUGUGAAUUCAUUGUCUUCAAGAAAUAGAACCCGAAUAGAUGUCAUGUUUCGCCAGCACGUAGGAAGCCCGCCAGUAAUUCUGUUAAUGCUAAGAUCCAGCUCUUCUAGUUUUACGAGGUUACACAAGCCUGUUAUUGAUAUCACAAGUCAAUUCAAUUACAGUGGUAGAUAUCGAAACACAUAACAAGGACAUACACAUACAUGAAGGAUUCAUUUUAUGUCCAAUUUUUACUCCGAGAGAUCAGGACUUACUCUGAUAUGAUAGUUUGCCAUUAAGACCGGUGUUGUAUAAGGACAACAAUCUAAGAGAUGUCAAAGGACCAAGGCUGGAAAGGAUUCCCAUGGUGGUGUUCAACGAAGAAUAAUCCAAGAUGAGCCAUUCCAACUUACUGAAGUUGUGGAAAUCUUCUCAAAAAAUGAAAGAUUAUUGAACAUUAGAUUUACUUACACAAAUAUAAUCAAGAAAUGGCAUAGAAAUAUCAUGAGUGAAUGGAACUUUUUUUAUAAAAACUUAGGCUCUGUUUGUUUCGUGGAAAAUAUGACGUUUCUUGAAAAUGUUUUGUAAGAAGUCAUUUUUAAGGAAAAUGACAAUAUUUUCCGAUAUUCGGCUGAAAUUUGAAAAUAAACUAGAAAAUAUUUUUCACCGUUUGGUAUGGUAAAUCUGAUUUGAUUUUCAUUCAUGUACUCCUUUCAAUAAUAUUAUAUUUUUUAUUUUAAAAAAUAGAAUUUUAAAUUUUUUUUCUUUUUUCUUUUUCUUUUUUUCCUUCUUGUUCAGUUGAUCACCGGCCACAAGUGACGUCAAGAUUGCCCGAAGCAGACGAGCUCAAGCCUUGUCAGAUUAUCGAAGCCUUGGCCUUCAGUGAGCUUGUCCCUCGUAUGUGGUUGGUUUGGCGAUCAAAUGAAGAAGAAGGAAGAAAGAAAGAAAGAAAUUAAAUAUUUGAUUUUUAAAAAAAUGAAAAAAGAAAAAAUAAUUAAAAAGAGUGCAUGGAGGAAAAUAGGUUUAGGUGAAAGAAAGAGAAUGGAAAAUGAUUUCUUCAUUUUCCCCACUUUUGAAAAUGCCUUUUCCAUUGUAGGAAAAUAUUUUCCUUCACUUAAUUAUUUUCCGUAACCUGAAUGCUGGAAAAUCUGAAAAACAUUUUCUUAAAAAUUGUUUUCCGCAAAACGAACGGAGCGUUAUCAUGAGCAUACAUUUAUUAAUGGGUUUGACUAACCUUGAGUAGUAAUAGUUCCUUCUAUUGUAUUAUACUGGAGAGAAAGGAUCUUGAGGGAUGACAGUGCCCCUAAUGCUCGCACAACGGUCCCCACAUCCUUCAAGUGGACAUCAUCUAGGUAGAGGUUCUCUAAGUGGCUCAAGUUUUUGAUGCCUACCAAUAAAAUUCUAAGUAAAUAACUUGCUUGUCAAUAAAGUUGUGAAAGCACCCAUGCGGAUGCUUCGGGAUAGGAAUCUUUUGAAUCGGGCAACAUUUCUAUAUGGAAAGAGAAAGGGGUCCCAAUUUAUGACUUCUAUAUUAUCAAUAUGAUGCACAUGUAAAGGUAUGAGAGACACUGCAUAAAGAAACAGUACCUUUAGUAGUGGCCGCAACAUGGACUGCAUUAUAACUUAUGUCUAGCUCCUUUAAAUUAUUGAAACAACCUAAUUUAUCGACAAACCUUGCUAACUCAAGUCGAGGAUGGUGAUUUUGUCCGGAAUUAUGAACAGAGAAUAAGUUGGAGAAACUAUCAUUCACAUUUAAAGUCCCAUUCAAAUGUUGUUUUGGAGAAUAGACACAUGAGAGUCGGAAUUGUACCGUGAACGGGUAGAAUAGAAUUAUCUAUAGAAAAUAAUGAAAACACCCAUGCGGAUGUCUAGGUAUAGGAACCUUUUGAAUCAGCAACAUUUCUAUAUGGAAAGAGAAGGGAUGACUUAUAUAUUCUUAAUAUGAAGCACAUAUAAAGGUAUUAAAGAGCAUGCAUGAAUCGUAGUCUAGUUAGUUUAAUUUAUGAAUACAAAUGAGGAUUCUACAUGAAAAUUGAAACAAUACCUUCAGCAAUAGCUGCUACAUCGACUGGAUUAUCACUCAUGUCCAGCUCCUUUAAAUUACUGAAACCACCUAAUUUAUCCACAAACAUUGCUAACUCAAGUCAAGGAUGGUGAUUUUGUACGGAAUCAUGAACAGAGAAUAACCUAGUGAAACUAUCAUUCACAUGUAAAGUCCCAUUCAAAAGUUGUUUUGGAGAAUAGACACAUGAGAGUUGGAAUUGUACCACAAACGGGUAAAAUAGAAUUAUCCAGAGUAAACAAUGAUAGCACCCACGCGGACGCCUUAGGAUGGGAAUCUUUUGAAUCAAUAACAUUUCCAUAUGAAAAGAGAAGGGGUUUGCAAUAUAUGACUUAUUUAUUCUUAAUAUGAAGCACGUGUAUAGGUAUUAAAGAGCUUGUCUACAUGACUCGCAGGAUAUUUAGUUUAAUUUACGAAUAAAAAUGAGGUUCUUGCAUGAAAAUUGAAGUAGUACCUUCAACAAUAACCACCGCAUCAACUGCGUUAUGACUUAUGUCAAGCUCCAUCAAAUUACUAAAAUCACCUAAUUUUUCCACAAACAGCGUUACUCAAGUCAAGGAUGGCGAUUUUGUACUAAAUUAUAAGCAGAGAAUAAGUUGGAGAAAUUUACCAUUCACGUGUAAAGUCCCACUCAAAUUAUUGUCAUGGAGGAACAGAUGCCGAAGAGAUGGAAUUGUACUGAGAACGGAUAGAAUAGAAUGACCUAGAGAGUUAUUACUCACAUCAAGCACCUCUAGUUUGCUCAAUCUUGAAGAUAGUAGGUUUGGUUCUGCAAACAAACAACGAAAAGCAGUAAAACCCACCGAAAUCUUUUCAAGUACAUUCGCAAGCAAGUAUUGCCAUUUUGAGGGAAAUAUAUCCUAGAGUCCUGGAUAAAUGCUGACGUGAGUGUAACCAUCUAUAAUGCAGGAACGGAGUAAAACCCCAAACGUGAUUAAUUUUUGAGUUCAUUAGAUAAUGAGUAUCUCUUGUUUUAUAGGAAAUGGAUGAAUGGGGAAUUUAUACCUUCUGGUGCAAUCCACCCUCCUAAAUAGUUGUCGGACAAGGAAAGGCUCUUGAGUUCUUCAAAGGGAAGAAAUAGAGAAGCAUUUAGGUACCAAGUUUUGGAGCCAAAACGGUAAUAUCUCGAACUGGAGAGCAUUAGUUGAGUGACUCGUCCUGUGGUGGGGUUGCACUCAACACCUUCCCAACUGCAACAGUUAAAAUAUGAUCCCCCAACAUCCACCCCAUAUUUCAGGUCCAAUGUGGCAUUGAGCGCUAAGAGUGCAACCCUUUCUUGCUCCCAACACCCACGAGAGCCACAUAAACAUGCGAUACCCAAAACCACCACAAGCACCCACAGUGCUUUCUUUUUCAUGACCACAAAUUCGACUAACCAAACUUUAUAUGUAUCACACUCUGGAGUUAACUUCCUUUUUGUAAGUUAGAGCAAUUUUAUAGGAGUUCAGCGGUGCCUGUGCUUGAGUGUAGAACUUGUGGUCAUGGCCAAAGUCUUGGUCAUCUUUAGUAUGAAUGUAGCUCAGCUCCUUUUGUUGACAAGGUUAAUUAGCGUGCGAGGCGGGAAAUGUACCUUACCCAAGGGCCAGAUUUCAUUGUUGGGGAAUUUUCCGAAAGUCUCUAUUGGCAUAACUUUUUCCACACGUUAAUUCUAAUCUAAGUCUAGUCAACUGUUAUCAUUCAUGUGAUUGAAUUUUCCACACGGUAAUUCUAACCUAAGUCUAGUCAACUGUUAUCAUUCAUGUGACUAAUUCAAUCUCUGUCCAAUGAACAGCAUAGGUAUUGUGAUUUACUUGCUUUCCAAUAGGAACUUAAGAUCGUAUUGAACAGUUAGACUACAAAUAAAUGAUGGUGGCAUGAAAAUUAGAUGUUAAAGUAUUAUUCACAAUGAAAUGGUCUCUUGCUUAGGAAACUAACAUAGGAUGUAGAUAUGGUGACGAUUCACUAAAGUGCUUUUCUCAUUGUUCAGCUUGACUAACUUAGAAUGCUUAUAUUUUCAAGAUACUGAAAAUUACUAAUCUGCAGCAUUACACAUUUCACAGAAGAGGAAAAUCAUAAUCGAUUGCCUUUGGUUUCUCAAAAUGCAUUUAAUUUAACUUGACGAGUGUCCAAUUAACAUUAUUCAAAUUGCUUCAAAUGCAAGGGUGACAGUGGAUUAUUCCUACGAGUCCAUAUGUAUAAGCGAAACUUCACCAAAACGUUCGGAAUUUGGAUGGUUCUAAACAUGGAAGAUCUAUUAAUUUACUUCGCAUCGGAGCUUUCAGCAGCGAAGUGACAUUAACUAGAGGCAUUUCAGAAGUAGACAUGUUGUAAAAUUAACUUGAAAAUUGACAAGAUCUUACUAUUAAAUCAACGCAAAAACAUUGAAGAAAUAAAUGGGGAACAAUAAGUAUACCAAAUAUUUACAUGAUUCGAUCUUAAUAUUAGUACCUAUUUUAUAAGAAGAGCUAGUAAUAAAUAAUUCACUAUAAUUAGAGAAUCAUAAUUAAAAUUACAUAUACGCUUGAGUGUUUCUUACAUUUAGAUUAAGACUAAACUCAAAAGAGUUUAUAAAUAAACAACUUAAUUAGAUGUAAAGCUCACAGUGCAAAUCAUAGCGUGUUUAAGCUCAUAGCAAAACCCUUCGCACAGCUAAUUCAAGAGCAUCCGUACAUUCUUUCUUUUGUUCUACGUGCGGUGGCUCAAUUUCUAAAGGAACCCACUAUUUGGCUUCUCCAGGAAAGGAAACUCACAAAAGCAAAACCUUGCUUUUAGUUUAUUUUCUUUUCUCUAACCCCAUGCUUGACCCCACACGCUUUCUUUUGUACAACCAAAAAGAAAAUCCAAACUAGGCAAUUAAAGUCUACAAAAAAUUUGACCAUAAGAGUUCAUCAUAAUCACUGCUGGGGCCCUUGCAACUAUCCAUAGAAAAUUUCUUCGUCCGUGUUUAAUGUGCCAAUCUCUGUACGUCCCAACCUUCAAAUUGAAAUUGUAUCUUUUUCUUGCCCAAAGUCCAAGUAAUACCAUCUCAAAUCUUUUACGUCCCAAGGUAUGGAUGUAAUCGGUAUAUAUAUAUCCAACCCAAUAAAAGAAACUCUCCAAUAUAUAUGUCAUUCAUAGAAAGAUUCUUUGGAUUUUUUUCUUAUUCAAUCAGGUUAAAUUGCAUAACAGCUCAAAAUCAAGACAUACUUUAACAAUUCUCUACCUUGCCUUGACGUUUGUAAUUAAGUCCACGUUCACUGUUUAUCUUCCAUGAUUUGCACCAAGGAGCUACCGGAAGUCAACAACAGUGUCGCCUAAGGGGUCGUGUGUCCCCGGCGACGACUGCCUUAGGGUCACGCGACCCAUGGCGUGGCCCAAGGCCUCAUCUGAGGUCGUGUGACCGAGGCAACGCCACCAGAUCUGGUUGCCAGCGGUUAAACUCCAUGGCCAAAUCUGACCAUUGACGAUUGUCCUUAAUUUAGACUAAAAAAAAACUAUUUGCAAAUGGAAGUUUUAGCAAACAGUUUUAAGCCAUAGUUUUUUUUCAAUGUUAAAAUUUGUCAAACACCAUAGCAUUUUUUAAAACCCUUUAGUCCAAAAAUAUUUGCAUUUUCCCAAAACCAUUUCCUCAAAGCCAAACCAAACGAGGCUCUACUUUGGGCUUUCAACCUUCCCAAUGUUGACAUUUGACCAAUAGACUUUUGAAAAUGCUUGCGAAAUGCCUAAUAUUUUUCCCAAUGGGCUUUAGGAGCUCAAAAUCCCUUGGGAAAAUUAAACCAAACGAGGCCACAUGUCCUUCUUGUCCCUGUAAGCUUGUGCCCAUCCAUUUUGCUCUCAGGAUUUGCUUUGAGCUUUUGGCAUUUUGGAAAUGCAAGUCUACUUCUAUUGUUCACCCGUUAACUAUUUUUUUUGUUCAACCACUCAUCUUCCCUAGUAGCUAUCAGAGGCUGGCCAACUGCCAGUGGCUAGAUCCGACGGUCAGACAGCCUCGCCUGAGGUUUGACUGCCACAUCUGACCGCCGGCGGUUGGUUGGCGGUGGAGCUUCAUCGAAUUUGAUUUUAGUUUAAUAAGCCAUUUGCAAAUGUAGGGUUUAUCAAACGGUAUUUACACCAAAAUCACUUUUCAAUGCACUUUAAAGUUACAAUUUGCCAAAUACUAAAGCAUUUCGGAAAACUUCUUUAACCCAAAUGUAUUUGCAUUUUUUCAAAGUCAUUUUUUCAAAGCUAAACCAAAUGGGCCAUAUGUUUCUUUUUGUCAGAUUAUUGCAUAUGAGUUGCAUUCAUUGUGCAUUGGUUGGAUUCGCUGCCGUCGAGAUCCUACGUGCUGCUAAUGGUCCCUAUUUUGUAAUUUUCUGAUGCUUUUGUUAUUAUCUUUUUCUGGUGUAUGUUUUGUUGUUAAUGGCUUGGGCUCGUACGCAUGCUAUGCAAUUUAAAUUUUGGUUUUUGAUGGCUUUUGAGCUAUAGCACAUUGACCAUACGAAGGAUAAGAUCCUCAGGAAAUGUACAAGUAAAAGCCUCCAUCUUUGCCAAUUUCAGUGGGCAUGAUUAGGGACAACAAUAUUUGGACAAAAAUAUUUUCAUAAACAUGUAUAUGGGGAUAAAAUAAUAAUUUAAAAGAACAUAAUCACGAUAGUUAAUUCAAAUCUUAAGUAACAGACUUUGGACUCAACAUUCUUUGUUUUAAAUAUCCAGAAAGAAAUAAAUAAAAAUUAAGUAAUCUAAGCCAAUCCAGUUCGUUUGUUCCGUUAUGUGGAAUAAGAAAUUGCCUAGAAUCGGUCGGUUCUAUCUGGUUUUUGGAUUGGACAAAGACCAAUGCACACCCCUAGUUCAGGAUGCAUCACAAAAGAGUAGAGUUUAAAAAGUUUCUUUGGAAGGCUGUCAUGACAAUUAGGGUGUCUGAUUUUGACUUAGGGUGUGUGAUUUUGACUUGAGAAUGAAAGAGUUAAAGGCAGUCGAUUAGAAAGUUUAUGAUUGAUUCUCCCACAGGCCUUCGGUGUAAUGGAGCAUAUUCUACUCUAAGAUGAGCUCAAAAUGUGACAUUUCCCUGAACAAUUAGUGCGAAAGCUUUAGGAUAUUAUAAUAUUGCAACAGACACAAACUCAUUUACUAUCUUCAGGACAUUGUAAUCAACUGAGCUGUGAUCAUCUUACGAAUUGAUAAGAUGUAAUAAUAUUAGGCACCUAAUAAUAUGAACCGAGCAGAAAAAUCAUUAAAAAAAAUUGAUUUAAGGGAUAAACCUAAACAAUCAGCAAAUCAUCAUUAUUCUCAUAAUAGAAAUUAUUGGGAUACUCAUGGAUCUCCGGAAAUGCACCGGUAAAUAUCGACAUCAGACUAAAAUUCUUAAUGCAUAUACUUGCUACUCCAAAUAAGAUUUGAAGAAAACUCUUUUCUACUAUAAAAGGCCAAUUCUUAGGAGUGUGUAUCAAGCUCCUUCGCCAAGUAGGGAGAAGGUCGGUCGAAUCACUGGGCCAAGAACGCGAGUGAAGAUCAAAGAGAAUCGCGAAAUUAGAGAAUCGAGGCCUUCGAUUACACGUAAGUGUCUGGCUGUCGCAAUGCCGCUCUGGAGGUAGACCUUGCUCGAGCAUCGUCGUGUUCUUUGGAAAGAAAUGAAGAAUGGGAAAGAAAGGAAAUCUGGGAAAAGCUCUAGGAAUAGAAAUGCUCCGCGAACAGGGGAGAGAGAAGGAAGAAGCAAUUUGGGGUUUUUUAUUUUUAGGGUUUGUAAUUUUCACCCAUUUUUUUGGGACAAAAAUGCUCCUAUUCCGAUUGUUAAUAAUAUCACAUGCUUGCCAGUCAAAUUUAGGCUCUUAUUUGAAACUAUUUUAGCUCAUUUAUGCCAUUAUUUGAAAAAAUAUCCACUCUAACUCUUUUUUGGAAAAAAUAAUCCCAUUUUAGGCCCUUAUUGGGAAUUCUACAUUUAUUAUAGUAGAGUGUUUCACAAAUUUUCUUUCGUUAUUUCAAUUUGUUAAAGGGAAAUUGGCCAUCGGAGAAACAUUUUUGUAGCUCCCCCUAUCAUUCAUGUCUAUUCUAUUCAAACGAGGCGUUCACUAACCCUUGCAACAAAUGCUUUAAUACCGAUGAUUUUGCAAAAUACCAAAUCGCGUUAUGUCUUCUUCUAGCAAGUGAAGGAAAUGUGUCUUUUACUAACCCCAUCAUCGUACAAACAAUCUAAAUUUUCUUGGCANNNNNNNNNNNNNNNNNNNNNNNNNNNNNNNNNNNNNNNNNNNNNNNNNNNNNNNNNNNNNNNNNNNNNNNNNNNNNNNNNNNNNNNNNNNNNNNNNNNNAAAUUGGUUGCAAGAAAAAUCUAGUCCUACCAUGUUAAGGAGUGCGUAGCCUUUAUAAGCAUCAAAUCUUCUUUUUACUGUGAACCCAACAAUAUGUGGAAUUUGCCAUGCUUCAUCUCCCAUAAAUUUAUAGUGGUAGAACUCCUUAUUAAAGGACCAGUGGCUUCUAAUUGUCCUCACAUUAGACAAAGGUGACAAUUUGUAACGUCUCUCUUCGAAACGCGGUAUUAAAUCUACCUUAUCAGGAUAUCCUGUAGAGGAGAAAUUUAUGGGUCCCAAGCAAAUAGGUAAUGGACCAAACAGAUUGUUUUCAGAAAGAUCGAUUAUACUUAAGCUUUUUAAUCUGCACAAUUGCUUGGGAAAUGUUCCAUAGAAGCUAUUACCUCUCAAUAAAAGAAUGCUUAAUUGAGAGAGGUUACCUAGCCAAUAGGGUAUGCUUCCCAAGAACUCAUUUUCACUCAAAUCCAAGGUCACCAAAUUGGAGCUGUUAGGGAGCAGAUGCAUGAUUGAACCAUUCAAUUUGUUUCCAUUCAGAUGGAUAUGUCUCAACUACGGUGCUACGAAAGAUGAUGCUAAUGAACCAGAGAGAUUAUUGUCAGACAAAGCCAAAUACUCGAGGUCAGGAAGAUUAAAGAGUCCUUGAUGGAUGAGGCCAUUUAGCUUAUUUUUGGACAAGUCAAGGAGCCUAAGCCUUGACAUGUUUGCAAUCACUCUGGGAAGCUUACCAAUGAAAAAGUUGUUGCUAACGUCCAAUUGGAACGGAUAUACGAGUGAUGAAAGAAAAGAGAGAUCUCCAGUGAACAUGUUGUUCUCUAAGUGUAGGCAUAACCAAUUUAGGUUCUUGGUGUCAUCGGAAAACACAAUUUCUCCUUGCAAGUUGUUAUAUGCUACGUUGAGUUUAUACAAUGAUGAGUUGCUAUCUAGUAACUGGAUAGGUAGUCUCCCAGAGAAAUUGUUGUGGGAAAGGUCUAAGGACUUUAGGGAUUUUAUACUACCCAGUUUAGAUGGAAUAUUCCCUUCCAAUCUGUUGGCUGAUAGAUUAAGGUGGGACAGAUUUGGGACAUUUAAACAAAAUUUGGUCGUGAGCUCUCCUCUCAUGCCGUUGUUGGACAUGUCCAUCACCGAAAGAUUGCGAAGGGUCAUUAGUGGAACCUCAAGUGUCACAAAUAAGUUAUUUGCCAUAAGAAGGUUUUCCAACUUAGUGUUGUUUUCCAACAACCAAGCUGGAAAGGGACCCGCAAUGUCAUUUGAGGAGAGAUCAAUGGUUCUCAAGUCAUAUUGAUGAUUGAGAAAGCCAAGAGAAGUUACUUUGAAUCCUUUCGACAGACUAUUUGACAUACUAAAAUCCUUCAAUUGGAACCUCGGGAUCGAAGACGCAACUUUGGAAUCAGUUGUUAGUUUGAUGUCAUCAAGCAAGAGGACCUUAAGUCUUGAAUAGUUGGCAAGUGNNNNNNNNNNNNNNNNNNNNNNNNNNNNNNNNNNNNNNNNNNNNNNNNNNNNNNNNNNNNNNNNNNNNNNNNNNNNNNNNNNNNNNNNNNNNNNNNNNNNNNNNNNNNNNNNNNNNNNNNNNNNNNNNNNNNNNNNNNNNNNNNNNNNNNNNNNNNNNNNNNNNNNNNNNNNNNNNNNNNNNNNNNNNNNNNNNNNNNNNNNNNNNNNNNNNNNNNNNNNNNNNNNNNNNNNNNNNNNNNNNNNNNNNNNNNNNAAUGGUAGACACACAAGCCUGUUAUUGAUAUCACAAGUCAAUUUAAUUACAAUGGUAGACAUCGGAACGUAUAACAAGGGUAUAACAAGGACAUACACGCACAUGAAGGAUUCAUUUUAUGUCCCAAUUUUACUCUGAGAGGUCAGGACUUACUCUGACUUGAUAGUUUGCCAUUAAGACUGGUGCUGUAUGAGGACAACAACCUAAGAGAUGUCAAAGGACCAAGGCUGGAAAGGAUGCCCAUGGUGGUGUUCAACGAAGAAUAAUAGAUUAUUGAACAUCAGAUUUCCUAGCAUAUACAUAAUCAAGAAAUGACAUAGAAAUAUCAUGAGUGAAUGGAAUAUUUUAAUAAAAACUUAGGCUCUGUUUGUUUCGCGGAAAAUGUGACGUUUCUGGAAAAUGUUUUCCAAUGAGUAAUUUUUUUUAGAAAAAUGACAAUAUUUUCCAAUUGUAGGUUGAAAUCUGAAAAUUAACUAGAAAAUAUUUUCCAUCGUUUGGUAUGGAAAAUCUAAUUUGAUUUUCAUAUGUGUACUCCUUCCAAUAAUAUUUUAUUUUUAUUCUAAAAAAGAAUUUUUAAUUAUUAUUUUUCCUUUUUUCUUUUUUCCUUCUUGUUCGGUUGAUCACCAAACACAGGUGAUGUCAAGAUUGCUCGAGACAAACGAGCUUGAGCCUUGUUAGAUUGGCGAAGCCUUGGCCUUUGGCAAGCUUGUCCUUCGCCUGUGAUCAGUCGCUGGUAGUCGUCAUAGUUGGCGAUCGAAUGAGGAAGAAGGAAAAAUAAUAAGAAGGAAAAAAUAAAGAAAGAAAGAAAUUAAAUAUUUGAUUUAUUAAAAAUGAAAACAAGAAAAAAAAAUAAUUAAAAAGAGUGCAUGGAGGAAAAUAGGUUUAGGUGAAAGGAAGAGAAUGGAAAAAUGAUUUCCUCAUUUUCCCCACUUUUGAAAGUGCGUUUUCCAUUGUAGGAAAAUAUUUUCCUUCACUCAAUUAUUUUCCGUAACCUAAAUGCUGGAAAAUCUGAAAAACAUUUUCUUAAAAAUUGUUUUCCGCAAAACGAAUGGAGCGUUAUCAUGAGCAUACAUUUAUUAAUGGGUUUGACUAACCUUGAGUAGUAAUAAUUCCUUCUAUUGUAUUAUACUGGAGAGAAAGGAUCUUGAGGGAUGACAGUGCCCCUAAUGCUCGCACGACGGUCCCAACAUCCUUCAAGUGGACACCAUCCAGGUAGAGGUUCUCUAAGUGGCUCAAGUUUUUGAUGCCUACCAAUAAAAUUCCAAGAAAAUAACUUGCCUGGCAAUAAAGUUGUGAAAGCACCCACGCGGAUGCUUUGCGAUAGGAAUCUUUUGAAUCGGGCAACAUUUCUAUAUGGAAAGAGAAGGGGUCCCAAUUUAUGACUUCUAUAUUCUCAAUAUGAUGCACAUGUAAAGCUACAAGAGAUACUGCAUGAAAACUAAAACAAUACCUUCAACAAUUGCCGCUAUAAUGACUGCAUUACAACUUAUGUCUAGCUCCUUUAAAUUAUUGAAACAGCCUAAUUUAUCCAUGAACCUUGCUAACUCAAGUCAAGCAUGGUGAUUUUGUCCCGAAUUAUGAACAGAGAAUAAGUUGGAGAAACUAUCAUUCACAUUUAAAGUCUCAUUCAAAUGUUGUUUUGGAGAAUAGACACAUGAGAGUCAUAAUUGUACCGCAAAUAGGUAGAAUAGAAUUAUCCAAAGAAAAUAAUGAAAUCACCCACACGGAUGUUUGGGAAUAGGAAUCUUUUGAAUUAGCAACAUUUCUAUAUGGAAAGAGAAGAGAUGACUUCUAUAGUCUUAAUAUGAAUCACAUGUAAAGGUAAUAAAGAGCAUGCAUGAAUCGUAGUCUAGUUAGUUUAAUUUAUGAAUACAAACGAGGAUUCUACAUGAAAAUUGAAACAAUACCUUCAGUAAUAGCUGCUAUAUCAACUGGAUUAUCACUUAUGUCCAGCUCCUUUAAAUUACUGAAACCACCUAAUUUAUCCACAAGCAUUGCUAACUCAAGUCAAGGAUGGUGAUUUUGUAUGGAAUUAUGAAUAGAGAAUAAGCUGGAGAAACUAUCAUUCACAUGUGAAGUCCCAUUCAAAUGUUGUUUUGAAGCAUAGACACCUGAGAGUCGGAAUUGUAUUGUGAAUGUGUAAAAUAGAAUUAUCUAGAGUAAAUAAUGAAGCACCCACACAUAUACCUUGGGAUAGGAAUAUUUUGAAUUAGUAACAUUUCUAUAUGGAAAGAGAAAGGGUUUGCAAUAUAUGACUUCUUUAUUCUUAAUAUGAAGCACACAUAUAGGUAUUAAAGAGCCCGCCUACAUGACUGACAAGCUAGUUAGUUUAAUUUACGAAUAAAAAUGAGGUUCCUACAUGAAAACUAAAAUAGUACCUUUAGCAAUAGCCACUACAUCAACUGCGUUAUCACUUAUGUCCAGCUCCAUUAAAUUGCUGAAACCACCUAAUUUUUCCACAAACAAUGUUAACUCAUGUCAAGGAUGGCGACUUUGUACUGAAUUAUAAGCAGAGAAUAAGUCGGAGAAAUUUACCAUUCACAUGUAAAGUCCCGCUCAAAUUAUUGUAUAUGAGGAAUAGAUGCCGGAGAGAUGGAAUUGUACUAAGAAUGGGUAGAAUAGAAUGAUCCAGAAAGUUAUCGCUCAAGUCAAGCACCUCUAGUUUGCUUAGCCUUGAAGAUAGCAAGUUUGGUUCUACAAACAAACAAUAAAAAGCAGUAAAAGCUGCAGAAAUCUAUUCAAGAACACGUGCAACAAAUAGAUAUUGCCAUUUCAAGGGGAAAUAUGUCAUAGACUUGUAAAUAAAUGAUGACGUGGACAUAAUCAUCUAUGAUGCGGGAAGUGAGUAAGAACCUAAACGUGAUUAACUUAUGAGUUCAUUAGAUAAUGAGAAUCUCUUUUUUUUUAUAGGAAAUGGACAAACGGUGAAUUUAUACCUUCUGGUGCAAUCCACCCUCCUAAUAGUUGGAGGACAAGUUAAGGCUCUUGAGUUCUUCAAAGGGAAUAAGUAGAGAAGCGUUUAGACACCAAAUUUUGGAGCCGAAACGGUCAUAUCUCGAAGAGGAAAGCAUUAGCUAAGUGACUCGUCCUGUGGUGGGGUUGCACUCAACACCUUGCCAGCUACAACAAUUGAAAUAUGAUCCCCCGGCGUCCACCCCAUAUGUCAAGUUCAAUGUGGCAUUGAGCGCUAAGAGGGCAACCCUUUCUUGCUCCCGACACCCAUAAGAGCCACAUAAACAUGCAAUACCCCAAACCAUCACAAACACCCACAGUGCUUCCUUUUUCAUGACUGCAUAUUCGAGUGACCAAACUUUAUAUGAAUCGCACUUUGGAGUUAACAUCCUUUUUGCAAGUUAGAGAAAUUUUAUAGGAGUUCAACGACGCUUGUGCUUGAGUGUGAAACUUGUGGUCAUGGCCAAAGUCUUGGUCAUAAUUUUUCCACGCGCUUUCUUUUGUACAACCAAUAAGAAAAUCCCAAGUAGGCGAUUAAAGUCCACCGAAAAUUUGACUGCAAGAGUUCAUUGUAUUUGCUAUUGGGGCCCUUGGCAGUUGGUAUCAAUUCCAAUUGGAGUUCAUCGAGUUAGGUUCACUUGGAAAAUGCCUUCCAUUAAUGCGAGAUCAAUGCAUAUGAGCCAUUAGAUCUUGUGCAUCUCACAUUGUCUCAUAAAAUUCACCUAUGAAAAUACAUCAGGCUCACAUAAUCGUAGCUCUCCGGGAUUGUUGUAAUUGAUUGGAGCGCUUAGCGAUUUCUAGCUCGAGAAGUCGGGAAUCACCCAUUGAUCCCACUAUUUUCAUGCAAACUGGCCUUCUGCACCGAUCAACUUUUUUGUAUUUAAUCAGUCUAUAGCACUUGCGAGGCAUUUCGAAAAACUUCCAGAUAACCCAGUCUUCACGGUCCGAGCCAUCAAGUAUAAAACAAAAGGCGUUAGUGCGGGAUUUCUGCCCACUCCAAAAACAAUUGUUCUGAGAGUGUACGGGUCAAAUGUGGUGAACUCGUGAGUGUCUACCCGGAAUUCCAUUACGUGCCUAACCCCUCUUCCCGAAAGAAAACAAUUAAGACGAAAGUGGAAGACCCCCCGCCCCUUGCUUGGGUGGUGGGGCCCCCCACGAUUGGAAAAAGAAAAAGUCUCGCAAGUGCGAGGGAGGGGGAGAAGAAGGGGUAGGGUUGCUGUGAGUUUGACGCGUGUAUAGUCGCGCGUGGGGGCCCCACCCGGGUGGGGUGAUGGUCCCGCCUCGCCAGCAAAAAGUUCAAAUCCCUUAUUUAUUGCGCGACUUCUGUAGAGAGGGAGGACCAUGGCGGAGGAGGAGGCGCGACGAGAUGGAAACUGGGGUUCCGAUUUGGAUUUUAGCAAUUUUCAAAUUCUAGAAAAGCUCGCUCUCCUUAGUUUCUUUAUCAAUUUUACCAUCAUCUGUCAAGAGAAGAAUCACACUUUCAUCGCCCGUCGAUGGCAUGUAUGGACUCUUCUUCUCUACAACAAUGUUGCCGUAAAAUAAUGGCGUGUUUAGUUACGAUUCUAUUCUCAAAAACAGAUUUCGAUCAGACAUGAUUUUUUUUUAUUCUAUUCUCGGGAAUAAUUUCUAAACAUUUUACCAUCUCAUUGGUGGCCGCAAUGGUUUAGGCUCUCUUCCCCUCACGAAUGAGAGGAGUUUGAAUCCCCCCACGGUUGCUUGGGGUCUUAAGUGUGAUGUCAGGAUGGUGGGUCCUCCGCUAGCAUCAGAAUUUACCCGUCGGCUGCCGACUAUACGGGGUUCCUUGGGUAUUAAAAAAAAAUUAUAAACAUUUUAAACCGUUUAGUAACUAUUCAAAAUUUCUUAUUCUGGAAUAGAAUUGUAUUUGGUACCGUGCUCAUUGAUUCUGUUCCAAAUCAAUUUCUUUUAAUUUUUAAAUAAUUUUUAUACUUUUUUCCUUUUUUUCUUUUCUUUUUUUCCAUUUUUUCAUUUUUUUUUUCUUUUUUCUCCUAUUCUUCUUCCUCUUCUUCCGGCCGGUGACCUCACCGGAGCAUCGCUGGCCCUCGGCGAGGCCAGCCCUCGUCGGAUGGUGGCAACGGCGGCAGACGGCGGCGGCAAGCAACGGCCGACAGUGGCGGACGACAACAUUAGGGGAGAGAAGGAUUCCACUUUUUUUUUAUUCUUUUUCUUUGUUCCUGAAACAAGAAUCAAGUUUUUUUUUUUUUUUAAAUUCUUGAUUCUACUCUAAAUUUGCUCCUAGGAACAAACUUGUUCCCGGGAACAAAAAUUUUAUCAAAUGCAAUUAUGAUCCUAGACUAAUUCGGAGAACAAAAAAUCAGAAUUAGACACUGUUUGGAUGGUUACCAAACACUGCUUAAGCAGCCGACCCUCGGAGGAUUCUGAUUGACCAACUGUCAGAUUAACUAACAAAUCUCAACCGAUGGAUGACGACGAUACACGAAAUUUGUACCUUAGAAAUUUCUGUAGCGAUACAAUUUUACAAGUAUUGGACGAAUGUCAAGUUGCCAACCUGCAUGAGAUUGUAUUUUUGACUCAUUUGGACCAACUUGAUUAAACGGGACAUAGACUCAAUAGCUACCGUCAUCAGCCGACAUUUCAUAAUCGGAUCUCACAAGUUCUACGCACCUUUCCGCAUGUAGCACUUGAAUUUUGUUUGACCAAUCUCGAUGUCAAGAGAAAAAUCUACUUGGACAUCGCAUGAUUGAAUUGAUACGUGUAUGUAAGCUAGCUAAGAAUCUAAGAUGCCUUCAAUUCAGCACCCGCUCUACUUGACAAUUACCAGUUGUGAUGCUGAAACAGCACUCAUAUGACAGCGUCAAGCGCUAUCACUCACAGUAUCCACACGUCGAAUGGAAGGAUCAAUUUAUAUCUAACUAGACCAUAUUGACUUCUUUUGUGAUGAUCUAUAACUGCAUCUCAAGUAAGACCAACUCACAAUUGCAGAAUUUUCAUGCUAAAUAACGGUAAACGUGCAAAUCGUACACAUUUGCUUCAUUAACGUAACACAAGACUCAGCAUUUCCACAAAUUACUGCUUUGACAAAUUACCGCUUUGACGCUUCCCGCGGAGAUGGUAAAACAGGGCCAGGUUGUCCAUAUUGCUAAUCCAUCUUUCCAGCAGGAUACAUUUUGAAAAGGUUAUAGCUAGGCAUCGAUCAAGCCUUCUUGGCUAUACAAUAAAGUAAUCUCCUGACCACUUAAACAGAAAGAAAUCCUCCAAUAACUUAUAACAAAGGGUGCAUGAGCCAAUGUCACUAGCUUCUAUGUUCACAUUACAUAAUACUGGUGUAACAACUUCCAUUGAAGUUAAGACAGAAUUAGAAUAAUUGUCACUAGGAUAUUCACAUUCAUAAUCUUGACUGCAAAGUAGAAUAACUUACUAAGUAGCUGCUUGCUGAGGUUGGGGACCGAUAUAUCCUAACCAGUGUGGCACCCAAUCCUCGAGAUUUCGGGAGCCUGACAGCAGCCAAGGGGUUGACUAUGCCCUGAGAAUCCUUUCCCAAACCCAUACCUUCAACAAAUCCCAUCUUUGCCAUCACUCUGGAUC